This 61057-nucleotide long non-coding RNA is filed under the name Prunus persica (peach). Its description in RNAcentral is "long non-coding RNA (PPER_LNC006675)". Lineage: Eukaryota; Viridiplantae; Streptophyta; Magnoliopsida; Rosales; Rosaceae. The record is from RNAcentral.
AUAAGAAUAAAUAUAUUUAAAUUCAACAAAACAUGCUAGAAACAAUCAUAAUCAAUAAACGUUCUUCAAGAUUAAAUUAUGGAUUUUAUUUGCAUAAAACCAUCUAUAAAAGAAAAGUCCACUCACUCCUGGUCUGAGCUAAAUAGACCUUCUGAAGGUCCCUCCUGCAGGUCUGCCUGGUUCCGGGUGCCUGGGUCGACGAAAAUAGUGGCCGGAGGAGGGAGAUCGGCGACUGUUGAGUUCGGAUGACGUCGGCCGCUUCUUCUCCAAAUUCCGGCGAAUCCGUGGUGGCUGGCGGCGGGAGGUGGCUGGAGUUGGAAGAGGACGUCGUCCCGGUCAUUUUGGUACCGGCCCCGUCCAUAGCCGUGGCCGGUGGCCGAAGUUACAAGGUGAAGAAGCGGGAGAGGUCGCGCGAGGAGAGAGAGUGAGCUGGUUUUAUAAAAUCCCACUUCGAAAUAUUUACGGUUGUGCCACUGAGAUUCUUUUGACCAUAACUCUCUCGUUACAACUCCGAUUCGGGCCCACUACGUGUCUAUGAACUCAUUUCACUGUGCUCUACGCAACGGUGUUUGUAGCAUGGUCAAAUUCAUUUCCGGUCAAAAAGUCAACUUUUCCUUAAUAAAAUAUUCUAAGGGCAAAAUUGUCUUUUCUCAAAAUAAAUUAUUCCUUAAUUAUGAAUUUUGGGUUUGGGUUAUUACACUUGAAAUAAUAUAUAUAUAUAUAUAUAUAUAUGAGGGCAAUACACUAGCAAUAUACAAGCAAUAAAGGGCUAUACAAUGGCAAUACACAUACUUCCCUAUAAAUUUAUCCCAACACAGACUUGGAAAAAAAAAAAAUUAUACGGGAGCAAUACAAUAGCAAUACACAAGCAAUAAAAGGCUAUACAAUGACAAUACAUAAGCAAUAAAAGGCUAUACAAUGGCAAUACACAAACUCCAUACUUCCCCUAUAAAUUUAUUCCAACACAGACUUGAAAAAAAAAAAGAUAUACAGGGGCAAUACACAAGCAAUGAAAUGCUAUACAAUGGCAAUACAAAAACUUCAUAAUCCCGUUAUAAAUUUAUUCCAAUAGACUUUAAAAAAUAAAAAAAAGAUAUACGGGGGCAAUACACAAGCAAUAAAGGGCUAUACAUGUGCAAUACAUAUGCAAUACAUAUCUAUCAUGGCAUUUGCCAAUUAAAUCACUGAUUUGGUUACAUUUGUAUUUUUUUUCCUUCUUUGCAAAGGGAACGAUAAAACCAUGGAAACUAGAGAUUGACAAAUUUCCUUCUAACUUGACCUUCAUAAAUUGAUGAAUUAACAAUGUUAUCUCAUUACAUCUUAAGAUAUACAUAAGAAAGUGGCCCAAAAAAAAAAAAAUUUACAUCUCCUCAUGGUUGGGAAUUUGAACACAUUAGCAAAAUUCGACGACAUUUCCUCUUAGAACCGAAUUUAAGCUGAAAGUUAGCAAUUUCCUCCCCAAGAGAACGCUGCCACUUGAAACAAGACAAUCUUUCAUCUGUAUAAAAUGAAUCAAAAAUGCAUAUUAGAAGCAAAUCAUUCAAUCACAAUGGAAACAAAAACAUAAUAUUCAAUCACAACUGAAACCAAUUUCAAAACAGAAACCAAUUCCAAAAUUCAUAACAUAAACCAAUACUAAAACAGAUUUAGAAAGCAAUACCAGAUUCAGAAACCAAUACCAAAAAAAGUUAAUACAUAUUCACAAGCACUACAAGUAUCAUAGACAUACAUUUACAUGCACUAUAACAAAUAGAGUCGAUAAAUGUAAAACUGCAGUAUGAUAUACAUUUUUUAAUAGAAGAAAGAAAAAAAAAUUAUGAUAUACAUCAUUUAAAAGCUGAGCUUGAAGUUUGCUGAGUGAAGGACGACCUUCAAGAAUCCAAUCUUUAUAUAGAUUGUUGGCUUUUCUAAAUGACCCAAUUCUUCAUAUAGCAAACUUUCACAAGAUAGCACGAUUGCAAAAUUAAAGUUCACAUUCAUGCACACAAUUUCGUACUACUCAAUUGCAAUAUAAAAAUUAUUAUAAACAUGGGCGAAGUGAAUGUGUGUCUUGGCAGGUGAAUAAAAAUACAAAUCAGGAAAUCAUCAAUAGUUCAUUUCGCAUUGUUCAAACAGUUGAAAAAGCACAGUCUCAGAGAAGAAGAAUAGCAAGACAAUGGAACUGGAUAAAUGCAAGAGCUAUCAACAAACCUUCAAGUUUUCCAAGAACCCUUUUCAAGGCACCAACACAACCUUGGCAUGAUACCAACCUUGAGGACUAUAGACUGCACCAAAAACAGAUUCAAGAUUGAAUUACGAAAAAUAGAGAAAAUCAAGAUCCAACAUAUGCCAACUUUACAGUAUCAAACUUAUGUUAAAAUAUUAGCAUUCUCAUAAAACUUACAAACUCCACAGUCAAUUUUGGAGAUAUCCUCCACCUCAAGACAUAAUCAAUUUAUGUAGUUCAUUCAAAAAUCACAUCCCAAAACAGAACAAACAAAUUCAGAUCAUUGAACCAAGAGACCAUUGAACCAAAUAACUAUGUUUCUUCAAUGUUUUUUGUAAGAAUAAAAACCUAACUGAGUAAUCGAAUUCAAUAAGCAAAAGAAAAUCUUCAAAAUCAUUGUAGAUUGGACAAGCUUCAAGCAUAAUAUUCCUUAAGACAAACAGAGAAAUAUUUGUUGCACAAUCUCAAAAUUUUGGUUCAAAAAGUUCUUGUAUAAUCCCACUGAAAUAACAUUAUCUACACAAGCUGAAAAUAUUAAUUGUAAACAAAGAGAGUAAAAUUAUAAAUUAAACCCACAAUUAUGUUUCAACAAAUUUCUAUUUAAUCUCACCCAAAUUUGACUUGGAGGGACUUGAACUCACAUCAAGCACCAAAAAUCCAAACCCAUAUAUGUAACUGAAACAAGGAGAAGAAAACCCAAAUGUGUAGGAGAAAAGCCAAGUUGUCUACCUGAGACGCCAUCUCUAAGCAUGUAGGUUGAAAGAGGUGACAGAGAGUGAGAGAUGGAGGUGGAAAGGUUGUCGUCGCCGAUGUGGGUUAGGGUUUCUGAGGAGGUGACAGUGACUGUUGCCGAUAUGGGUGCAAGAGAGAGAGAGUGGGUUAGGGUUUCUGAGGAGGUGAUAGUUGUUAGCAUAUUCAGAACAUUAUCAUGCAUAUAGAUUCAAUCAAAACAUGUAAUAAAUCUCAAUGAAAAUGCAGAGAGCUUUUGAGUAAAGAGAGGUCAGAUUUCUGUGUGUGAGAGAGAGAGCUUGGAGAAGAAUGCUAGCUUUUAUCAGCCCAGCACCAAAACAUGUAUAUAUCAUGAAACUGACAAAAACCGUUAGGGAGGAGAUAUUCCCUAUUACAUCACUAAAUCUAGCCAUUCAAUCAUUACCCUAUAAGAUAAUGACAGGUGGCAAAAUGCUAUUACAUUCUCUGCUGUACACUUGGACUAUGAUCCAAGGCAGCCUUCCUAACAAGAAUAGAACCUUCAUAUUCUAAUUCCAUCACAGCAGCUACACCUAUACACCAACACUCCCUUCUAGGUGUUGUGCUGAAAUAACACCUAGAGCCUUCCUCAAAUACUCAAAUCUGUCUCUUGUUAAUGGCUUGGUGAAAAUGUCAGCAAGCUGCACUUCUGUUUUGCAAUAUAGCAAAUCAAUCUCACCAUUUUGUAGAGCAUCUCUUAUGAAGUGAAACCUGCGGUUGAUGUGUCUGGUUUUGUGAUGAUGAACAGGAUUCUUUGAUAUAGCAAUAGCUGAAGUGUUGUCACACAACAACUGAGUUGGUUCUACCUGUUCCUCUCCAAAAUCAGAUAACACAAACCUCAGCCACAUAGCUUGUGCAGUAGCUUCUGUUGCACUCAUGUACUCAGCCUCUGCUGUUGACAGAGCAACACUACUUUGCUUGAUUGAAGCCCAAGAAAAUGCACCUGACCCCAAGUUGAAAGCAUAGCCUGAUGUGCUCCUCAUGUCAUCUUCACUUCCACUCCAAUCACUAUCACAAUAGCCUAUUAACACUGCUCCUUUUCCCUUAUCAUAGGCAAUUCCAUAGUUUAUGGUGCCUUGAACAUAUCUCAGCACUCUCUUUGCUGUUCCCAUGUGCUUCUUGGUUGGAUUAUGCAUGAAUCUAGCCAAGAGGCUUGCUGCAAACAUGAUAUCUGGUCUGGUUGCAGUCAGAUAGAGCAAGCUCCCCACCAUUUGCCUAUACAAUGUCUCAUCUGCUAGUUCACUUCCAUCCACUUUUGACAACUUUUCAUUCACUGCCAAAGGUGUUGCAACAGACUUGCAAUCCUUAAGUCCAAAUUUGUCAAGUAAAGUCUUUGCAUACUUCUUCUGGUGAAGGAAGAUGCAAGAAUCAGUUUGUAGGACCCCAAGACCAAGGAAAUGAUGAAGUAGUCCUAGGUCAGUCAUCUCAUAUUGUCUCAUCAUAUCAUCCUUGAAUGCAGCCAUCAUUUCUUUUGAGCUUCCUGUGUAGAUAAUAUCAUCUACAUAUAGAGACACAAUGAGAAUACCACUUGUAGACAUCUUUGUGUACAAAGUAGCUUCACUUGGACUUCUAUAAAAACCAGUCUUGAUGAAAUAGGAAUUUAUCUCAUCAUACCAAGCUCUUGGAGCUUGUUUCAAACCAUAUAAAGCCUUUUUCAGCUUAUACACUUUAUCUUCACUUCCUUGCAUCACAAAACCAGAUGGUUGAUCUACAUAAACUUCUUCAUUUAGCACUCCAUUAAGAAAUGCAGACUUUACAUCUAGUUGAAACAGAUUCCAGUUUCUCUGUGCAGCAACAGCCACCAAGGUUCUCACAGUAUCAAGUCGAGCCACUGGUGCAAAGGUCUCAUUGAAGUAAAUUCCAGGCUUUUGAGAAUAUCCCUUUGCCACCAGCCGAGCCUUAUUCUUCUGCACAGAUCCAUCUAGGUUCAGUUUAGUCUUAUAGAUCCAUUUGACUCCAAUGAUUGGUUUAUCAAAUGGUCUAUUCACAAGCUCCCAUGUAUUGUUCUUCUCAAUCAUGGUGAUUUCAGCUUCCAUUGCUUUCUUCCAAGAGUCAUCCUUUGCUGCCUCUUCAAAACUUUCUGGUUCUAUAAUGCACAUGUUGCAUUUUUCAUAAAUUUCUGCAAUGCUCUUGUACUUGAGAGGAGUAUGAUCAACAUCCUGUGAUCCUGCUUCCCUUUCUUGGUCACUGGUUUCAGUGUUUAAGCUAGGCAUCUCAUUCACUUCCAAUUGUUCUUCAAAUUCAUAAGAGCUCCCUUCUGCUCCUUGUUCUUCUUCUCUGAUUUCAGUGAGCUGAAUAUUCACACUAGUCUCCUUCUUUGUAUUCCAAUCCCAACACUCAUUCUCACUAAAUAUCACAUCUCUUGAAAUGAUAACCUUUUCAGUUUCAAUAUUGUAUAGCCUGUAUCCCUUUUCACAGCUGCCAUACCCCAGAAAAAUACACCUCUUGCUUGCCAAAUCUAGCUUCUGUCUUUGCUGUUUUGGUACAUGAGCAUAACACAAUGAACCAAAUACCUUUAGAUGCUUAACUCCUGGUUUCCUCCCACCAUAAGCCUCAAAUGGUGUCUUUUUGCUCAAGGCUUUAGUUGGACAUCUAUUCAAAAUGUACACAGAUAUGUUGACUGCCUCUGCCCAGAAAUCAAAAGGAAUUUUCUUUUCCAACAGCAAACACUUGGCCAUUUCUACUAUAGUUCUAUUCUUCCUCUCUGCCACACCAUUUUGCUGUGGUGUGUAUGGGGUUGUGAGCUGCCUUUCAAUGCCUGCAUUGUCACAGAACCUCUCAAACUCCACUGAAGUGUACUCUCCUCCUCUGUCACUUCUCAAUUGUUUAAGUUUGUAACCACUUUGCAAUUCCACAGUGGCUUUGAACUUCUUAAACACACAUAGAGCUUCUGACUUGUGCCUUAAGAAAUAGACCCAACACAUCCUUGUGCAAUCGUCUAUGAAAGUGAGAAAGAACCUAUUUCCAGCUUUGGUAACUGUCUGCAUAGGACCACAGAUGUCACUGUGAACAAGUUCUAGUGGAGUUGAUGCUCUAGAGAUAGCUUCUCUUGGAAAUGCUUCUCUACUCUGCUUGCCUAGAACACAACCCUCACACACCUCUUUAACUUCUUUAAUUUCUGGCAGCCCUACUACCAUAUCUUGCUCUUUCAAUAGUUUCAGACUACUCAUAUUGAGAUGUCCAAAUCUUCUAUGCCAGAGGUCAGUGGAAUGGUCUACACCUGCUCUAUAAGCAAAGUGCAUUUCAGCCUGCAACUUCAAAGGAAAGCUUCUGUUUCCUUUCAUCUGAACCUUUGCCACCAGAUUUGUAUGAGAGCUGUCAUUGUAGAUUUCCACCUUGUGAUCACCAAAUACCAAAUAAUAGCCAUGUUCUAUCAUCUGUCCUACACUGAGUAAGUUCUCUUUCAGUCCAGGUACAAGCAUUAUUUCUUUGAUAUGUCUCUUGCCUGCUUUGGUUUCAACCACAAUAGUGCCUUUUCCAGUUACCUCUACAAGCUGUCCAGUUCCCAUUUCAACCUUGGCAGUCACCUUUCUGUCAAUAUCCACCAACAAAUCCUCUUUUCCUGUCAUGUGAUUACUACACCCACUGUCCAAAUACCAGAUCUCUUCAUCCCUUGUUACACCAGCACCACUUGCAUUGCUAGCAUAGAACAUUGUUGGUGCAGCUUCCACUUGAGUAGCAUAGUUGACCUGCUGUGGUGUUUUCUUGCUAUAGCAGUCUUUUGCAAUGUGGCCAAGCUUAUCACAGUUAUAACACUUUGGCUUGCCCUUGAAUCGACAUUCACCAAAAUGUAGCUUACCACAGUGCUUGCAGGGAGUUUUAGUGCCUUCACUUGCCUUGUUAUCCCACUUCUUGCCUUUGGAUUUCCAAUUUUUAUUCUGUUUGCUGUUCUGUUCUCCAGUCUUGGUCUGUUUGGCAUCUACACUAAGGCUAGCAAAUGCCUUCUCUGUUCUGUUUUCAGAAUGCCUAUCUAAACGCAACUCAAAGCUCUUUAGUGAGGCUACAACCUCCUGCACCUCAAUCUCAUUUAGAUCUCUAGAAUGUUCAAUGACUGAACAGAUAGAGUCAUAGGUAGAUGGCAGACUAAUAAGCAGUUUUUGAACAAUUCUCUCCCUAGGCAAUUCCUCCUCAUAACUUCUCAUUUGAUUAAUUAAAUCAAAUAGUUUAGUAACAUAGACAGUUAAGGAUUCAUCAUCCUUCAUUCUUGUAUAUUCAAAUUCCCUUCUAAGGCCUUGCAAACACUCCUUACCUGCUUAUCUCCAUGGAAUUCUUGCUGCAGAAUACUCCAGGCACCUUUUGAUGUCUCUUCAUGAGAUAUUCGUGGGAAUAUCUCCUCUGAAACUGCUCCUUGAAUCAAUCCAAGGGCCUUGGCAUCCUUCAUGAGUACCUCAGCAACCAUGCCUUUCCCACUUGAUUCUUCUGUCUCCUUUUUCUGAUCACCAGAUUCAUCUGACUUUUUCAGAUCCAUACCAUCAAGUCCUUUGAUCACAAAAUCCCACAGUCCAUGAGAUUUGAAGAUGGUCUUCAUCCUAAUGCUCCAGAAAUCGUAGUUCUCACCAUUGAAAAUUGGUGCUCUCAACUCACCACCACUUGAUCCAGCCAUGUUAGACUUAGGUCUGCAGAACUCAAGCUCAGCUGCAGCUUCAAUAGCUUAGCACAGAAAAACGCCCAGUAUUACAAGAUCAAACCUGGCUCUAAGGCCAUGUUAGCAUAUUCAGAACAUUAUCAUGCAUAUAGAUUCAAUCAAAACAUGUAAUAAAUCUCAAUGAAAAUGCAGAGAGCUUUUGAGUAAAGAGAGGUCAGAUUUCUGUGUGUGUGAGAGAGAGAGCUUGGAGAAGAAUGCUAGCUUUUAUCAGCCCAGCACCAAAACAUGUAUAUAUCAUGACACUGACAAAAACCGUUAGGGAGGAGAUAUUCCCUAUUACAUCACUAAAUCUAGCCAUUCAAUCAUUACCCUAUAAGAUAAUGACAGGUGGCAAAAUGCUAUUACAUUCUCUGAUGUACACUUGGACUAUGAUCCAAGGCAGCCUUCCUAACAAGAAUAGAACCUUCAUAUUCUAAUUCCAUCACAGCAGCUACACCUAUACACCAACAAUAGUGACUGUCGCCGAUAUGGGUGCAAGAGAGAGAGAGAGAGAGAGAGAGAGAGAGAGAGAGAGAGAGAGAAGAAAUGAGAGGAGGGCAGAGUGAGUGAGAUCGAGAAAUUAUGAAAGAGGAUUUGAGAGAAUAAACAAAAGUGAAAGAUGGGCAAUAAGCUGUCAAUAGGGAGUUUUUAUAAGGGGCAUUUAUGAUUGGGUUUCAAAAUAAGAAUAUUAGUGAAUAAAUUAGGUGAGCCAGGGGUAAAGCCGCCAAUUUCCCAAGAAAAUAAAGAAAUUAAAAGUCAAAUCUCCAAGUUGACUAACUUUUUGGCUAUUAAUGAGAAAGGAAAAUUUCCUGCCAACACUCAACCAAAUCCAAAAAGGGCUAAUUCUUGUGAAUCUUCACUCGAGCAUGUAAAGUCUGUUAUUACUCUUAGAAGUGGUAAAAUAAUUAACACACUUUCACAUAAGGAAGUUGAAAAAUCUAACAGUAAUGAUAAACUUAACAUGUCCAACUUGAAUGAAUAAAAUGAAUAUCAUUUUCCCCAAGCUUUAAAUCCUCCAAAGAAAUUGAGUCAAAAUUCUGAAAUUUUAGAUGUCUUUAAAGAGGUCAAAGUGAAUAUUCCUUUGUUAGCUGCAAUUAAACAGAUUCCAUCCUAUGCUAAAUUUUUGAAAGAUUUGUGCACGAUCAAAAGAAAGCAUCAAGUGAAGAAAAAGGCAUUUUUAACUGAACAUGUGAGUGCAUUGUUACAAUAUAAAAUUCCUCCAAAAUAUAAAGACCCUGGAAGUCCUACUCUUUCGUGUGUAAUUGGAAAUAAUUUUAUUGAUCGUGCAUUACUUGAUUUGGGCUCCAUUGUAAAUUUAUUGCCUUAUUCAGUGUACUUGCAGCUAGGUCUUGGUGAGCUUAAACCUACAAAGGUAAAAUUGCAAUUGGCUGAUCAAUCAGUAAGGACACCGCGAGGGAUUACUGAAUAUGUGUUGGUCUAAGUGGACAAAUUUUAUUAUCUUGUUGAUUUUAUUGUUUUGGACACUGCACACGUUUCAAAUUCUGAUAAUCCAGUUCCUGUGAUUUUAGGACGUCCUUUCUUGGCUACGUAUGCUAACAUUAAUUGCAGAAGUGGGGAGUCAUGAAACUUUGUUUUGGAAAUAUGACCAUGAAAGUUAAUGUUUUUAAUGUUUAUAAACAGUCAUCUGGGGAGGAAGAUGAACCUGAAUCUGUGAAUUCUAUCUCAACUUUAUCGCAUGAUCAAUUUGCGAAAAGUAGUGCUGUUUCUUGUUCAGAAAAGUUUCAAAUUAAUUCUAAUGGUUCUAAUUUAACAAGAAAUUCUCAAAUGACUGAAUUUGUUAGAUGACCAGGGUGGAAGAAAGUUGACAAAUAUUAUAGCCAGCCUUAGCAGUAGAAUAGAUGCCGUGACUUCUUUCAGCCCCUUAGAUUUACAAUUAAGACUUUCCAGCAUUACUACUUUUACGUAGAUAACACAAAUUCCUAGCAUUACUCCUCUUCACUGCCUUUAUCAAUAAAUGUCAUGCAUUUCAGUCAUCUGGAAGCUAAGUGAUGACAACAGGCCUUUUUCUCUACAACUAAUUAAGCUACACAGCACUAAUAAAAUCAAAACGAACAAGGUUAUAAAGUAUUGAACAUCAGAGCAAUAUGCAACGAACCUUUGAAAGGGUUGGUGCAAAUUGUUUCACAACAUCAUCUACAUGGUUUCAACGAUCCCCCUGCAAGAAACCAAAGCAUCACUAAUUUAUCUUCAUCAAUGUGUUUCUGUAUGCGAAUUUGAUUUCAAGAGGUGGGUAGUUAAAUGGUACCUCUGAAAGAUUAGAAGCAUCUCUAAUGAUGAUUUUUGUACCAUGUCCUCCAAGACCAAUCUUAUUGUUAUCAAAUGCGAAGCCUCACUCGCAGCCGCAUCAACAAGUAAAACGCUUUUCUUCUUCUGUGGCAUGAAUCAUUCUAAUGGCUUUAUGGGUUGUUUAUGAGCUCACAGUAUCUCUGUCUCCCACUGCAAUUCAAUCAAUCUCAAGCCUGGAGGAUGGACAGUACGGCACAGAUUGGAUUUCCUUCUUUGACACAAACUCUGAUUUACUCUCUGCGAAAGGGGUGAGGAAGAAGAGAAAGAGCUUACCGUACACUCAACUUUUUUUUGUAUUUGGUUUUUUAUUUUGGGGGUUAAUGCAUUUUAUUUUGAGAGCUUCACUAAUAUACCCAAAAUAGGGGCUGAAAUUAUAAAAAAAUCUCAUAUAGAAUGCACUUUAGAAACACACCAAAAACUCAUUUACUACAUAAGAAAUUGGUGUUUAAGUUUCUAUAAAUUAUGUAAUUGCCAUUGAUCAACUUAAAAAAAAAGUCCAACACAAAAAAUUUAAAUAGCACCCAAAACAAACCCAACCCAAUUUUAUAAAAAAACCCAAACAAUUCAUUACAAACAAAACGUUUUGAAAACCAUAGCUUCAUUAAUGUGUCAUGGUGAUUAAUGACUGUAAUAUUCCAUACAUUUACUUUUAUGUUGAUUAAUGGCUGUAAUGUUCAAGUCUAGAGUAAUGAUCAAGUCUAUGCGAAUUUGAUUUCAAGAGGUGGGUAGUUAAACGGUACCUCUGAAAGAUUAGAUGCAUCUCUUAAUUAAAAUAGUCUUUAUCAUUACUGUUGUCACUUUUUUAUCCAACCUAAGAUAUUGAUCUAGUGGUGGUAGAGUUGGCCCCGUAUUUGAACUCAAUCAAUUGGGGAAAAUAAAGAUUUCUAUAGAGGAAAGGCUACUUUUAUUCAGAAAACUCAAAAGUAUUGUCAAUCAUUGAUGUGUGCAUAGAUGGUCGAGAAAACCCUUUUCAUUGUAUAUAUGAUAUUCUUUAAACAAACUAAACAAACAGAAUCCAGAUGGUAAAAUUUGGGAAAAGUAGUGAGUCCUAACACAACACAAUUAUGAAGGUGAUCAUGGUACAAAACUCAAAGUAGUAAAAUUUCGAUGCCUUCUUUUAAGUCUUACUAGAACUUCCAUGCACCCAAUCUGAAAAAUAAAAUAUAAAAAACAUUGUAGCAUUCGAGUUUGAAGCCCCUAGGAACAUUGUAACAUAACACACUAAAUUUCUAUUUGGCAAUUGAAAUGAAAGACCACUAUAUAUUCUUUUCCCGUAUCUACUUACAUAUAUGGAUAGAGAAGAGAAGGUACAAUUACAAAAGAAGAAAUUAACUCUGCUGCAGGCCUUUGCUACUAAUUGGGUUCAAUCUUGGCCGAAACUGCGUAUCCACUACUGUAAUAAAAGGCACCAGUGCUGUCAUUCACUUCCUUUUUCGGCAAGCCAUCGUUGUAUGGAUGCUUAGGAGCUCCUUUUGAUGCUGCAAAUUCUGUGGCUGAUGAAGAUGCUGAUGUUGAGUUUGUGUUCAUGCCAUCAUUCUGCAGAAUGGUUUCAAUAGCCUUCACAAGCUCACUCAUUGUGGGGCGGUCUGCAGCUGAUUCUUCAACGCAUUGCAGGGCCAGCUCCAGGAACCUCCCAAACCCAGUAAGAGUUCCAGAGUUUCGAAUGCUUCGAUCCAUUAACUCCCUCAAACCAUAGUGUUCUUCAUCAUUCUUGUCCAUCAUCAUUUGUACCUGGCGGACGAUGUAUUUUCCCAUCUCAAUAGGCUUCCUAGCCGUAAUCAAUUCAAGCAUCACUACUCCAAAGCUGUAUACAUCACUCUUCUCAGUUAACUGUUGAGUCGUGUAGUAUUCAGGAUCAAGAUAUCCCUGCAAGAACAAAACAGAAACUUAAGAGUAAAAACUCAAGAAUGAGUCAAUGGGAUGAAAUAUGUUGAAAUGCUAAUAACGUAAAGCUUACCAUUGUGCCUUUGACCUGACUUGAGACAUGCCCUUUUCCACUGUCAGCUACCAGCUUGGACAAGCCGAAAUCUGUAACCUUCGCGGUUAAAUGUUCAUCUAAUAGAAUGUUGGCGGACUUCACAUCUCUGUGAAUUAUAGGAGGAUUUGCAAGCUCAUGUAGGUAAGCUAGUCCUCUUGCCGAGCCAAGAGUGAUGCGGAGUCUCCUCUGCCAAUCAAGAUGAAUACCAGAUCUCCCUGCAAUUCAUAUUUAAGCAAAGGUGAACUUGGUCACUAUGUCUAUUGCAAACAAGCUAUCUCUAUGCAAUAUGAAAUAGCUGAGAGUAAAAUCUUUGAACUAACCUGACAAGCUUUCCCUGAGUGUUCCAUUCGGAAUAAACUCAUAUACCAGCACCUGUUCUCCUUGUUCAAAACAAAAUCCCAAAAGGCCAACAACAUUUUUGUGAUGAACUCGCGAGAGCAACUCGAUUUCAGUCUUGAACUCAAGGCCACCCUGCAUUGAUCCUUGCUGAGCUCUUUUGAUUGCCACCACUUGUCCAUCAGAAAGCAUGCCCCUGUAAACCUAUGGACAACCAACCAAAAGGUGAAGAAAAAAAACAUCCUUUAACUUGAAGCAGAAUUUCAUAGAUGUUACUGAAAUACUUGAAUUAAUAUACCUUCCCGUAUCCACCAGAUCCUAUCUCAUUACUGUCAGAGAAAUUAUUUGUGCAUUUCUUAAGCUCAUCAAAAGAAAAACAUCUUGCUCCCUUUAACUGUGGUGCUCCACCACUGUCUUUUCCGCUUGGUGCCCAAGAAGCUAGAAGAUAGAGAAAAGGAGUGAUACAAGCAAACCAACUUCUAAUGUCAAUGACAGAAUUUCAAUGUAUCCAAUCAUAAACAACAAGAAUAAUUAAUUACCAAAAGGUCGGCUUAAUCCAAUGGCUCUUUCUGCACGUUUCUUUUGCCUAAUGGCAUAUAUUCCCACUACCACGAGGCCCAGUACAAGAGCUACACAACUAACUGAUGUCCCAAUAAUAACACCAGUGCUCAUAGAACUUUUAUUCCCACCUGAAACAAUUUUGAGUUUUUAUUGUCAGUUUAAUCAAUCUUCUAAUGCAGGGAAAUGGCAUACGAAGUAACGAUGCGAUUUGAAUUACCCGGGAAAGUAUAAGGAUAUGGAAUAAAAUAAUAGGGUCCAAACCCCUCCGGUGGCUUUUGAUUUUGGUAGUUCAAAUCUAAACCAAUCCUCAUAAUCUCUGACCUAUUAAAAUACAUUCCUGUAGGUGGAAAGAGUGCCAGCUGAAUUUGAAGAUAGUCAUGAUUGUCGAAGAAAGGGUUUUCAAGAGAAACUGAACCAGGAAUGAGGCCAAGUAUUUCCCAUAGAAUCGUUUCUAGUGCGUGAAACAUAGUCACAUUUGGCAAUUCCCUGAAAGGGGGUGCUCUGAAAUACAAUGUUCCUUUGAAAGGAUAUGCACAUUGACAACUCUGAGGGCUGGGCUUCUGAUUAUCGGGGCAUGUAAUGCGUGCACAAUUCGAGCUAGUAGUAUACGUUUCUGUAUCUUGUUGCGGAAGCUGACAGAAUUUAGUGACGGCAGUUCCACUGGUGCAAAAUGGGUUCUCUACAAGUCUGCAACAUGUAAAAGUGACAACUAAGAAUGGUGUUGAAAAACACACAACCUUAGAAAAUCAAGAUCAAGGCCCAUGAACUGUCUCACAUUAAUGUAUGUUUGUAUUUAUAACCCAGAGUUAUUUUAGGAAUCUGAUUGUGCUGCAGAUCAACAAGCUGCAGUUGUGGACUGAUGCUAUCACCCAAGUUCAAUGUAUCGUUAAACGCAUUGUUUUUCAGUUUCCUGUCAAGGGUUAGAAAAAAAACAUGAAGGGCAAGUUUCCUAAAGUUACAGUCAAAACUUGAUGCUUUCUUCGGUAUUCUCCUUAAACUUACACUUGCUGCAAUGUUUUGAUGCCGAACAUCUUCUCUGGCACAGUCCCUUCAAGUGCUCCAAAUUCUAAAACGCUGUGUUCCAUAAAAGUAGAGAAUUUCAACAAAAAAUUACAACAAAGUUUUCAGGGUGUACUUUUCCAAGACUCAUUCAUAGAUACUAAGACAUUUUUGUGUAACCUCCUAAGGACUUACAUAGUGGUGAUUGAGGGUAAGUUCGAGAACCAAAGUGGAGCUUCUGAUGGGUCAAAUGAGUUGUUACUCAGGUCUCUGAAGUAAAAUCAUUAGGAUUUAUCAGUACAACAAAAGAACAACUUGCAGGAAACUUGAAACUUGAAAUGACAGCUCCAUGCCAUCUUACUCACACAGUAUGGAGGGACCUCAUUCCAGUUAAGUCAGGUAAAGGGCCUGUCAAUUUGUUGUGAGCCAAAUUUCUGGAAGAGAACAAAAACUCAUGUAAAAGAUGAUUAAGAAUAAUUAAGGUAACUGUUAACAGCACAUUAGAAUAUCCUCUUAGAGACUUGAUACUCACAGUUCAUUGACAUGUGUUAGGUUGCUGAUAUUUGAGGGGACAUUUCCUGUCAGAGCAUUUCUAUCAAGCCGACUGUUGCAAACAAGAAGGUUUUGAAUCCAAUAAGUAUCAAGAAGCAGAUACUUAUAUGUGAAAGAAUAACAAAAUGGAGCUGUUUUUGUACUCACAGAACCUCAAGAGUCUGAACGAGUGCUAUGGUUGAUGGAAUCUCCCGAAUAAAUUGAUUUCCAUCAAACAAACUGCAGUUGAAGAAUGACAUGCAGUUAGAUAAAUAUAAGUACAGAACAUAAACUGAUAGAUGGCAUCUGGCUAAAUUAAAAAAAUGAUCGAAGGGAUCAACUUACAUGUGUAUCAGUUUCAUCUUAGAGCUGAAAAGUUUGGGAUGAAUGGUACCUGAAAGGUUGUUCUUGCUGAAAUGGCUGCAUGUCCAUAUUAUCAGUUUAAUGUUUAUGCAAUAAGCAAUGGCAUAAUCCCUAUUAGAAUUUCAUCUUUUCACAAUGGAGAGAGUUUGGGAAAUGGAAAAAUACUCACAAGUGUUCAGCCUUCAAUAAAUUGUCUAAGCCUGAGGUAAGGGGGGUUGAAAUUGGUAGAGUUCCAGUCAACUGAUUGUCUACCAGGUCCAACCAGUUAAGUUUGGAGAGUUUACCCAAAGAAGGAGGUAUUUGACCAGUAAAUUUAUUCGUAUUCAGAGCCCUGAAAAGAACAAAAGAUUUAUAUAAAGUUGGGAAAGAAAAAACUUAAAAUGGUUUGCACUAACAGUAUGAUUAUCAAUUCAAUUCUUACAAGAAAGUUAGCUCUCCAAGAUUGCCCAAUUCCUCUGGAAUAUUGCCACUGAAGCCGCAGCCCGCUAGGAUCCUAAAAGAUGAAAAGAGUCCUGUAUACUUAUCCAAUAUACAAACUUAUAUUGCACAUACAAAGUUCAAAAGGUGCAAAUGUGAAAAUUGCUUGCUAAUUUGUUCUUACAGGAUAUUUAACUUGCUCAGAUCUCCUAAUCGUGGAGACAGAGAACCCGUGAGGCCUUUGUUGAAUGAAAGGUCCCUGCAAUGUUAACGUUUCCACUUCGUUACAGAAGGAUGCCAUGCUAAUCGAAGAUUGAGUGAUAACAAAAUAAUUGAUACUGCAAAAGAAAUAUGUUUUAUGCAUUUGUAUACAUACUGAAUCUGUUGCAUUGCAUCUGUGUUCAAUUCAUAAUGUGCUGCAAACAUAAUGCUGGUACAAAGAGGAGCAAUUAUACUCACAAGGAUCUUAAUUCAGAGAGUCCCCCGAUAUCGCCUUCAAUUUGUCCUUUCAAGUCCAUUGCUGAUAAUCCCCUGCACAUAAAAAAGUGCAAGGUUGAAAAUUUGUGUAAGAAAGUAGUUCACCAAUGCCCAGAACUAUAAGGAUCACAUGAAAAUUCAAAGAUGAACAAUGCUCACAAUGCGGUCACCCUCGAAUUGUUGCAGGUGACUCCUUCCCAGUUCAUUCCACAGGGAUCAUUUGACUUGUCGUUCCAGCUGGGUGGAAGAUUCGUCCAUGCCCCCUUCAAGGAUAUGAAAACAGCAGCUGGACCAACAGACUUACAAAUCAAUCUACUACCUUAACACAAAGUUUGUACACACAUAUGUGCAGGAUGUUCAACUUACAAUCAAAAUUUAGCUAAAACAUUAAGAAAAGCUUGCAUUAAACACAAUCUAAAUGGACUAAUGACCAAGUUUGCAUGCAAAAACAUGAGAAACAGGAGGAUCAACAUGAUAUUGUUUGUUACACAUAUCUAGGCCAAAGCUCAAACUACCAAAACCCCAAUUUCCCAUUAACUAGGAAAUCUUGUUUGUUACACACGACUGUCUUGACAUGGACUAUGUUUAGGGACUGUAUUGGCUUGGCUUGGCUUGGUCUAAGUUGGAUAACACUUAUCCUGCAUUUGGUGUAUGCUUGGACUAGGACUAGAUUUUUUUAUUUUUUCAAAUAUAUAUAUAUAUAUGUAUGUAUAUAUGUAUUUUAUAAUAUAUAAUAUAUAUAUAUAUCUAUAUAUAUGUAUAUAUGUAUUUUACAGUCCCGAUGUCUUGGACUACAGGGGUCCAAGAGAUUUGUGGUCAUGGAUGUAAAUUCAAUGGUUCACUCACUCUUGCACUCCUUUUAAGAAACUUUUUUGAACCAUUGGAUUAAUAUCCAACGGUGGGUGACCACAAUCUCUUGAACUCCUGUGGUCCAAGAGAUCAGGACUGUAUAAUAUAUAUGUAUAUAUACAUACAUAUAAUAUAUAUAUACAUGUAUAUAUGUAUGUUAUAAUAAUAUUAUAUAUAUAUAUAUGUAUGUGUAUAUAGGUGAAUAUAUGUAUAUUAUAAUAUACAUAGAUAUAAUACAUACAGUCCCUUUCUAUUGAGGGAUCCCUCAAAUAAAAUUAUUUGAGGGACGCCCUUUAGGGUACCCUACAAUUUUUUUCCCAAUGAUCCAAACCAUCUAUUUUUUAGAUCUUCAUUCAUAGAUCAUCCUAAUAAAAAAUUAGACAAAUCGGAAACCGUUUCGACAUCCAAUUGUGUCUUACAAAAUCAAUGAACACUGUGCUUCAAGAAAAUGCUAAAAUUUCAAUAACUUAAUUGAGUGGUCAAAUGAUAUCGGAUUCAAGUGAUUUUUUGUAGGGAUGAUCUUUGAAUGAGUAUCUACAAAAUAGACGGUUUGGAUUAGUGAAAUACAAUCCGGAGUGAGGCCUACAAGGGGUGUCCCUCAAAUAAGCUUAUUUGAGGGAUCCCUCAAUGGAAGCUCUCUGAUAAUACAUAUAUUUAUAUAUAUAUAUGUAUGUAUAUUAUAAUAUAAUAUAUAUAUAUAUGGGUAUGUAAUAAUAAUAAUAAUAUACAUAUAUAUACUUGUAUAUAUGUAUGUAUAUAUACAUAUAUAUAUAUACAAUCCCGAUCUCUUGGACUACAGGGGUCCAAGAGAUUUGUGAUCACUCACCGUUUGAUGUAAAUUCAACGGUUCAUUCACUCUUGCACUCCUUUUAAGAAACUUUUUUGAACUGUUGGAUGUUAAAUCCAACGGUAGGUGACCACAGUCUCUUGGACCCUUUGUGGUCCAAGAAAUCGGGUAUGUAGAUAUAUAUUAUAUAUAUUAUAAAAUACAUAUAUAUAAUAUAUAAUAUAUGUAUAAUAUAUGUGUAUAUAGGUGUAUCUAUAUAUUAUAAUAUAUACAUGGGUAUAAUACAUAUACAUAUAUAUAUAUAUAUUAUAAUAGAUAAUAUAUAUGGGUAUGUUAUAAUAAUAAUAUACAUGUAUAUACAUGUAUAUAUAUUAUAAUAUAUACAUAUCGGAUAAAUAUAUAAUGUAUAUGUGUAUAUGCAUAUUCUAAUACAUACAUGGGUAUAAUAUAUAUACAUAUAUAUAUAUAUACCCCUUCUAUUGAGGGAUCCCUCAAAUAUUUGAGGGACGCCCUUUAGGGUACCCUAUAAAUUUUUUUUCAACGAUCCAAACAAUCUAUUUUUUAGGUCUUCAUUCAUAGAUCAUCCUUACAAAAAAUUAGACAAAUCGGAAACCGUUUCGAUAUCUAAUUGUGUCCUACAAAAUCAAUGAACACGGUGCUUCAAGAAAGUACUAAAAUUUCAAGAACUCAAUUGAAUGAUCAAAUGAUAUCGGAUUCAAAUGAUUUUUUGUAGAGAUGAUCUUUGAAUGAGUAUCUACAAAGUAGUAGUCCCCUCCUAAGGAGGUGUUUUUGGUGGGCCCGGUAUUAGCAAUCUUAUCUAAGACUAUAAUUAAAUGAAACAAACAUGAUACUAAAUUUAGUCUAAGCCAAGCCUGUAUACCAAACAACCCCUAAAUGGACAAAUAAACAUUGAUAUCUGAGACCAUACCAUCACUGGAGUUUGUUUCAGAAAAGAUGACAUGAAUCUCAGCAGAGCAGAAAGCCAGAAAGAGCAGGAACCGCAUGGUUGCCAUGGUGGUGAAGGAGCAAGCAAAUCAAGAAAACUGGUGUGUCUGUGAGGCUGAUCAGCUAGUAAGCAGAGGUCAAAAAAAGCACAUUUCUAUUUACCCCUGAUGGUCAAAAAAGCACUUCGCAAAGACUUCCCUCCACGCAGACACACCCUUCAAUUCAAUUCCUUCCACUCUACCAACUACACCACUUGAAGAUUUUUAUUUAAUGAGUCCUUGACAGCAUGCAUGCAUGUAUGUACGUGCGCAUGUACAAGUUCCGACCAAUUCAGAGCAAGUUUUGCUUUGAAAGUUUUGCGGAUGUACAAACAUAGUUAAGCAGAAACAACUCUCUCAUGAGCAAAGCUAGCAUCUUUCGAAUGGGAACAAAGCUACACAAUUCUGAAUGUACGCCUAAAGUCUCCACUUGCAUUGAUAUAAGAGAGAAUUCAACUAAGUCAUUCAAUGGGUACAUUUGGCUUUAGGCGAAAAUGGGUCCCAGAAGCUGACAUGAAAAUCAAGGCUCUCGGGGGUGCCCGGGACGUAUUCAUGGUUUGAUCCACUUUCAUGUUGAAUGGAUGAAAAGGUUUUCAUUUUCGUAAGAAAUGGAUCAAGACAAGAUGAUCGUUUUCACAAAACAAAAAUCUAAUUCAAACAGUCAAUUUCUAUGGUGCGAAGGGUCAAAGGUUAUUCUACAAAAGAUAAAAGUAUAUUUUUUGUGCCAAGGGGUCAAAGGUUAAUAAACAAACUAGCCACAAAUUGCCGUCUAGCCAUACCAAUAAGAACCUCAAUUGAAGUUUUACCAAUUUCAUAAAAAAUAUGAGCUACAUGAAUCAAAGACUUAAUAUCCGGCAACUCAAUUGAUUAAGAGCAUUUAAAUUUAAACCCGAGAUUUUGUGUUAGAUUCUCCUCUUUCCAGAGGACACAUUGGGACAAAUUCUACUUCAGUUUGGAUGGAAAAGAAUCCUUUGUGUCCCAAAGCAAACGUAGCCUGGCCUACAUCUGGCACACCUAAAAUUAUAGUAGCAAAACCAACCAUGAACAAUAAUUAUGAUAUCUUACAGCUUCUCCUAUUCCAGUUUCUGAAUUCAGUAUCCUUCCUUUCCUAGUGCCUUCAAUAGUGAGUUUGACCUAAUUACCUUUGAGAGGGCAAUCCCAAAGCUAAUAGAAUGUUAUGAAUCCUAUGAAACAAUUCAAUUGGGUAUCUCCUUAAAGUUGUAUCGAGGCAUUUUCAGAUAACAUCCAUACAACAUGAAAGGCCGAAGAUGACAUGUUUAAAAAAAUAUAUAUUAAAAAAUAAAAGAUUAAUGGAUUUAAUGUGGCUGUCGCUACUGUUGGAGUUAUGACUAUACAAUAAUACAAUGCCACGUAUGACAGGACAUAUUUGUCUGUAGGUUGGCUUCAUUCAUGGCGUCGAAGACGAAAGACAGAGACUAAUACAAUGCCAUGUAUGAUCGGGACAUAUUUGUAUGUGCGUUGAAGACGAAAGAAAGACUAGCGGAGUGAAGGGGUAAGAUUUUUUGUCAAAUGAUCAAAACCACACAAUCUCAAUUAAUUAUAGUUAGUCAGUUGGGCUGAGGCGUUUGCAUGCGGAACUUUCAAAAGCACGAGUUCAUGACAUUGGCUUGUUUGAUAGAAGAAGCUUCACCAAUUAAAAUCUGAUCACAUGUAAACAAAGAACAAAUGGGAUAUCAAGGAGAAAGAACAAAUCUAAUCACCAAUUAAGUUACACCUUGAGGCCCAACACUUUGUGGAAUAAAGAAGGGUUUUGAAGCCUAUUAAGGGGUCCUAUUUGUUUCCUUUUAUGCGUGAACCGAUUUGGUGGGCUUGGAAGAUAAGUCAAGUCGGCCCUUGGUAAUGAGUAGAGACGACUUGACCUAGCCCUAUAUAACCUUAAGGUCAUGCUCUCAUCAGACAUGUUCUCUAACCUAUUCUCAUCAUAAAGAGAGAGCUGAAACUAGUGGCGAAGCCAGAAUUUCAUGUGUGUGAGGGCAUCUUACAAAUUAUAAAGAAUCAAAAAUUCAAACUCACAAUACAUUUGAAAAAUAGUGUAUAUAUACAUUGUAAACUUAAGUAAAUGGAGUAAUAUAUUAAAGUAAAAGGGCAAAGACAUUCACUUAAGUGUUGAAAAUGGAAAUAAGGUAAUCUGUACACCUGGAGUGCACCGCCACCAGCUGAGCAAGGGGGCAAUUUGAAGUACCUCCUUGUACCCACUGGCGGACCUAGAAAUUUUUUAGCGGAGGUGCAAUAUUGACUAAGUAUGAAAAAUGGUUUUUUGGAAUAAUCAUUUUUUCAAGAUAAUUUUUGACGGCUUUUAUUCCUUAUACAUCAAAUAAGAAAACUUGAUUUUAUGGGAUUUUAGUAUGAAAUAUAUAUUAACUUAAUGAGCCACCAGCUGAGCAAAUGGGCAAUUUGAAGUACCUUAAUAGAUCCGCCACAAUACAUAAGGGUACAUAUCAAAAUGUAAAGUAUUUUAAAUAAUAUACAUAUAGAAAUACAUAACAGUAUAUUAUCUUUAAAAUAUAAAAAAAAAAAUGAGUAGGGGCCCGGGACCACAUUGGUCCCAGUGUCGCUCUGCCCCUGGCUGAAACAGAUUCUAAGAGAGAGCAGAACUCUUGAGCCGUUCCUGUUCUUGCUAGGAUUGUUGUUGCUACAGAUUGGAUGAGUUAAGAGGUUGUGUACUCUAGGAAGAUGGCUCCAGGUAUGUCUUCGUGUCUCUACGUAUUUCAGAUUGUGUGAAAGAUCUUGAAUAUCUAUAAUAUAGAAAUCUAAUAGUUGAUAUCAGAGCACAUGGUUAUUCACACACACUGAAAUCGUUGUUCAAGCAUGCCUACUCUUACUGUUUCUGUAUGCGAAUUUGUUUUUGUAUGCGAAUAGAUGCCGUGACAAAUAUCAUUACUGUUAUCACUUUUUGAUUUCAAUAUUGAUCUAGUGGUGGUAGAGUUGGCCCCGUAUUUGAACUGAAUCAAUUGAGGAAAUUGAAGAUUUCUAUAAAGGAAAGGCUACUUUUAUUCAGAAAACUCGAAAGGAUUGUCAACCAUUGAUGUGUGCAUGAAUGGUCGAGAAAACCCUUUUCAUUGUAUAUAUGAUAUUCUUUAAACAAACUAAACAAACAGAAUCCAGAUGGUAAAACUUGGGAAAAGCAGUGAGUCCUAACACAACACAAUUCUGAAGGUGAUCAUGGUACAAAACUCAAAGUAGUAAAAUUUCGAUGCCUUCUUUUAGGUCUUACUAGAACUUCCUUGCACCCAAUCCAAAAAAUAAAAUUAAAAAUAAGAAAAACUUUGUAGCAUUCGAGUUUGAAGCCCAUAGGAACAUUGUAACAUAACACACUAAAUUUCUAUUUGGCAAUUGAAAUGACAGACCACUAUAUAUUCUUUUCCUGUAUCUACUUACAUAUAUGGAUAGAGAAGAGAAGGUACAAUUACAAAAGAAGAAAUUAACUCUGCUGCAGGCCUUUGCUACUACUUGGGUUCAAUCUUCGCCGAAACUGCGUAUCCACCACUGUAAUCAAAGGCACCAGUGCUGUCAUUCACUUCCUUUUUCGGCAAGCCAUCGUUGUAUGGAUGCUUAGGAGCUCCUUUUGAUGCUGCAAAUUCUGUGGCUGAUGAAGAUGCGGAUGUUGAGUUUGUGUUCAUGCCAUCAUUCUGCAGAAUGGUUUCAAUAGCCUUCACAAGCUCACUCAUUGUGGGGCGGUCUGCAGCUGAUUCUUCAACGCAUUGCAGGGCCAGCUCCAGGAAUCUCCCAAACCCAAUAAGGGUUCCAGAGUUUCGAAUGCUUCGAUCCAUUAACUCCCUCAAACCAUAGUGUUCUUCAUCAUUCUUGUCCAUCAUCAAUCGUACCUCACGGACGAUGUAUUUUCCCUUCUCAAUAGGCUGCCUAGCCGUUAUCAAUUCAAGCAUCACCACUCCAAAGCUGUAUACAUCACUCUUCUCAGUUAACUGUUGAGUCAUGUAGUAUUCAGGAUCAAGAUAUCCCUGCAAGAACAAAUAGAAACUUAAAGAGUAAAAACUCAAGAGUGUGUCAAUGGGAUGAAUAUAUGUUGAAAUGCUAAUAACGUAAAGCUUACCAGUGUGCCUUUGACCUGAGUUGAGACAUGCCCUUUUCCACCGUCAGCUACCAGCUUGGACAAGCCAAAAUCUGCAACCUUGGCGGUUAAAUGUUCGUCUAAUAGAAUGUUGGUGGACUUGACAUCUCUGUGAAUUAUAGGAGGAUUUGCAAGCUCAUGUAGGUAAGCUAGUCCUCUUGCCGAGCCAAGAGUGAUGCGGAGUCUCCUCUUCCAAUCAAGAUGAAUACCAGAUCUCCCUGCAAUUCAUAUUUAAGCAAAGGUGAAGUUGGUAACUAUGUCUAUUGCAAACAAGUUAUCUCUAUGCAAUAUGAAAUAGCUGAGAGUAAAAUCUUUGAACUAACCUGACAAGCUUUCCCUGAGUGUUCCAUUAGGCAUAAACUCAUAAACCAGCAUCUGUUCUCCUUGUUCAAAACAAAAUCCCAAAAGGCCAACAACAUUUUUGUGAUGAACUCGCGAGAGCAACUCGAUUUCAGUCUUGAACUCAAGGCCACCCUGCAUUGAUCCUUGCUGAGCUCUUUUGAUGGCCACCACUUGUCCAUCAGAAAUCAUUCCCCUGUAAACCUAUGGACAACCAACCAAAAGGUUUUUAAAAAAAAAAAAAACAUCCUUUACCUUGAAGCAGAAUUUCAUAGAUGUUACUGAAAUACUUGAAUUAAUAUACCUUCCCAUAUCCGCCAGAUCCUAUCUCAUUACUGUCAGAGAAAUUAUUUGUGCACUUCUUAAGUUCAUCAUAAGAAAACCAUCUUGCUCCCUUUAACUGUGGUGCACCACCACUAUCUUUUCCGCUUGGUGCCCAAGAAGCUAGAAGAUAGAGGAGUGAUAUAAGCAAACCAACUUCUAAUGUCAAUGACAGAAUUUCAAUGUACCCAAUCAUAAACAACAAGAAUAAUUAAUUACCAAAAGGUCGGCUUAAUCCAAUGGCUCUUUCUGCACGUUUCUUUUGCCUGAUGGCAUAUAUUCCUACUACCACGAGGCCCAUUACAAGAACUACGCAACUAACUGAUAUCCCAAUAAUAACACCAGUGCCCAUAGAACUCUUAUUCCCACCUGAAACAAUUUUGGGUUUUUAUUGUCAGUUUAAUCAAUCUUCUAAUGCAGGGAAAUGGCAUGCGAAGUAACAAUGUGAUUUAAAUUACCUGGGAAAGUAUAAGGAGCUGGAAUAAAAUAAUAGGGUCCAAACUCCUCCGGUGGCUUGUAAGUUUGGUUGCUCAAAUCAAAACCAAUCCUUAUAAUCUCUGACCUAUUAAAAUAUAUUCCUGUAGGUGGAAAGAGUGCCAGAUGAAUUUGAAGAUAGUCAUUAAUGUCAAAGAAAGGGUUUUCAAGAGAAACGGAACCAGGAGUGAGGCCAAGUUUAUCCCAUAGACUCAUUUCUAGUGAGUGAAACGUAUUCACAUUUGACAAUUCCCUGAAAGAGGGUGCUCUGAAAUACAAUGUUCCUUCAAAAGGAUAUGCACAUUGACAACUCUGAGGGCUGAGCUUCUGAUUAUCGGGGCAUGUAAUGCGUGCACAAUUUGAGCUAGUAGUAUACGUUUCUGUAUCUUGUUGCGGAAGCUGACAGAAUGAAUUUGAGCUAGUUCCAUUGGUGCAAACUGGGUUCCCUACAAGUCUGCAAUAUUUAAAAAUGACAACUAAGAAUGGUGUUGAAAAAUAUACAACCAUAGAAAAUCAAGAUCAAGGCCCAUGAACUGUCUCACAUUAAUGUAUGUUUGUAUUCAUAACCCAGAGUUAUUUUAGGAAUCUGAUUGUUCUGCAGAUCAACAAGCUGCAGUUGUGGACUGAUGCUAUCACCCAAGUUCAAUGUAUCGUUAAACGCAUUGUUUUUCAGUUUCCUGUCAAGGGUUAGAAAAAAACAUGAAUGGCAAGUUUCCUAAAAUUACAGUCAAAACUUGAUGCUUUCUUCAGUAUUCUCCUUAAACUUACACUUGCUGCAAUGAUGCGAUGCCGAACAUCUUUUCUGGCACAGUCCCUUCAAGUGCUCCAAAUUCUAAAACGCUGUGUUCCAUAAAAGUAGAGAAUUUCAACAAAAAAUUACAACAAAUUUUCAGGGUGUCCUUUUCCAAGACUCAUUCAUAGAUACUAAGACAUUUUUGUGUAACCUCCUAAGGACUUACAUAGUGGUGAUUGAGGGUAAGUUCGAGAACCAAAGUGGAGCUUCUGAUGGGUCAAAUGAGUUGUUACUCAGGUCUCUGAAGUAAAAUCAUUAGGAUUUAUCAGUACAACAAAACAACAACUUGCAGGAAACUUGAAACUUGAAAUGACAGCUCCAUGCCACUACUCACACAUAAUUGAGGGAAAUCAUUCCAGUUAAGUCCGGUAGAGGGCCUGACAAAUUGUUGUGGGCCAAAUUUCUGGAAGAUAACAAAAACUCAUUUGAAAGAUGAUUAAGAAUAAUUAAGAUUAAGGUAACUGUUAACAGCACAUUAGAGUAUCCUCUUAGAGACUUGAUACUCACAGUUCAUUGACAUUUGUUAGGUUGCUGAUAUUUGAGGGGACAUUUCCUGUCAGAUCAUUUCUAUCAAGCCGACUGUUGCAAACAAGAAGGUUUUGAAUCCAAUAAGUGUGAAGAAGCAGAUACUUAUAUGUGAAAGAAUAACAAAAUGGAGCUGUUUUUGUACUCACAGAACCUCAAGAGUCUGAACGAGUGCUAUGGUUGAUGGAAUAUCCCCAGUAAAUUGAUUAUCAUCAAACAAACUGCAGUUGAAGAAUGACAAGCAGUUAGAUAAAUAAUAGUAUAGAACAUAAACUGAUAGAUGGCAUCUGGCCAACUUAAAAAAUGAUUGAUGGGAUCAACUUACAUGUGUAUCAGUAUCAUCUCAGAGCUGAAAAGUCUGGGUGGAAUGGUACCUGAAAGCUGGUUCUUGUUGAAAUGGCUGCAUGUCCAUAUUAUCAGUUUAAUGUUUAUGCAAUAAUCCCUAUUAGAAUUUCAUUUUUUCACAAUGGAGAGAGUUUGGGAAAUGGAAAAAAUACUUACAAAUGUUUAGCCUUCAAUAGUUUGUCUAAGCCCGAGGUAACGGGGGUUGAAAUUGGUAGAGUUCCAGUCAACUGAUUGUCUGCCAGGUCCAACCAGAAAAGUUUGGAGAGUUUACCCAAAGAAGGAGGUAUUUUACCAGUAAAGUUAUUCGUAUUCAGAGCCCUGAAAAGAACAAAAGAUUUAUAUAAAGUUGGGAAAGAAAAAACUUAAAAUGGUUUGCACUAACAGUAUGAUUAUCAAUUCAAUUCUUACAAGAAAGUUAGCUCUCCAAGAUUGCCCAAUUCAUCUGGAAUAUUGCCACUGAAGCCGCAGCCAGCUAGGAUCCUAAAAGAUGAAAAGAGUCUUGUAUACUUAUCCAAUAUAAAAUCUUAUAUUGCAUAUACAAAGUUCAAACGGUGCAAAUAUGAAAAUUGCUUCUCAAUUUGUUCUUACAGGAUAUUUAACUUGCUCAGAUCUCCUAAUCGUGGAGACAGAGAACCCGUGAGGCCUUUGUUGAAUGAAAGGUCCCUGCAAUGUUAACGUUUCUACUUCGUUACAAAAAGGAUGCCAUGCUAAUCAAAGAUUGAGUGAUAACAAAAUAAUUGAUGCUGCAAAAGAAAUAUGUUUUAUGCAUAUGUUUACAUACUGAAUCUGUUGCAUUGCAUCUGGGUUCAAUUCAUAAUGUGCUGCAAACAUAAUGCUGGUACAAAGAGGAGCAAUUAUACUCACAAGGAUCUUAAUUCAGAGAGUCCCCCGAUAUCGCCUUCAAUAUGUCCUUUCAAGUCCAUUGCUGAUAAUCCCCUGCACAUAAAAAAGUGCAAGGUUGAAAAUUUGUGUAAGAAAGUAAGUCACCAAUGCCCAGAACUACAAGGAUCCCAUGAAAAUUCAAAGAUGAACAAUGCUCACAAUGCGGUCACCCUCGAAUUGUUGCAGGUGACUCCUUCCCAGCUCAUUCCACAGGGAUCAUUUGACUUCCAGCUGGGUGGAAGAUUCGUCCAUGCCCCCUUCAAGGAUAUGAAAACAGCAGCUGGACCAACAGACUUACAAAUCAAUCUACUACCUUAACACAAAGUUUGUACACACCUAUGUGCAGGAUAUUCAACUUACAAUCAAAAUUUAGCAAAAACAUUAAGAAAAGCUUGCAUUAAACACCAACUAAAAUGACUAAUUACCAAGUUUGCAUGCAAAAACAUGAGAAACAGGAGGAUCAACAUGAUAUUGCAAAGUCUUUCCUAAGUCAACGCAUAUCCAGGCCAAAGCUCAAACUACCAAAACCCCAAUUUCCCAUUAACUAGGAAAUCAAUAAUGGACAAAUAAACAUUUAGAUUUGAGACCAUACCAUCACCGGGGUCUGUUUCAGAAAAGAUCAUAUGAAUCCCAGCAGAGCAGAAAGCCAGAAAGAGCAGCAACCGCAUGGUUGCCAUGGUGGUGAAGGAGCAAGCAAAUCAAGAAAACUGGUGCCUCUGCGAGGCUGAUCAGCUAGUAAGCAGAGGUCAAAAAAAGCACAUUUCUAUUUACCCCAGAUGGUCAAAAAAGCACUUCCAAAGACUACCCUCCACACAGACACACCCUUCAAUUCAAUUCCUUCCACUCUACCAACUACACCACUUUAAGAUUUUUAUUUAAUGAGUCCUUGACAGCAUGCAUGCAUGUAUGUACAUGCGCAUGUACAUGUUCCCACCAAUUCAGAACAAGUUUUGCUUUGAAAGCUUGAUUUGGUGAGUCGGGUUUUUUCAACUGUCUUCAAAAAAUACUUGCAGGCACACAGAGAGAGAUAGAGAGAUAGAGAGAGAGAACAGAAAAAGAUUUGGGUUGGCCCCUUUGAGCUUCUUUUAAAUGAUUAAGCCUUGUCUUAGAAGCCAACCUUUGGCCUUAACAAUAAGCACCUUCCACUAGCAAAAAAACCCACCAACCGAAAUCAUCACACAAAGUCCAAAAAAACAUCAUCAUCUUUCCUCUAUCAAAAUCAUCUUAUUGCAGCAAAAAAACAAAUAAAAAAUGUGGAGGUUUUACCGUUUCCUCCGCCCGCCCGCGCAUUUUCAGAGGACAAGUCACAUAAAACAAACACAGUUAAGCAGAAACAACUCUCUCAUGAGCAAAGCUAGCAUCUUUCGAAUGGGGACAAAGCUACACAAUUCUGAAUAUACGCCUAGAGUCUCCACUUUUUAAUCAAAUUUUAAUUAAUUAAUUAAGUUCCAACUUGCAUUGAUAUAAUUUAACUAGGUCAUUCAAUGCGUACAGUUGGCUUUAGGUGAAAAUGGGUCCCACAAGCUGACAUGAAAAUCAAGGCUCUCGGGGGCGUGGCCGGGACCAAUUCAUGGUUUGAUCCACUUUCGUGUUGAAUGGAUGAAAAGAUUUUCAUUUUCGUCAGAAAUGGAUAAAGACAAGACCUUUGUAACUCAAUGUUUUGCCUCACUAGGUGGUGGCGGGUGAGGCCAUUUUUUAUGGUGGUAGGUAGGGUCUUUUCCUUCGUUUUACUUGGUAUUCAAGCAUUUGAUUUAAGAUGAGAUCUACAUGAUGAUUGUUUUCACAAAACAAAAAUAUAAUUCAAACAGUCAACUUCUAUAGUACGACUGUUACUAAAUACAACCAAGUUUAUUCUACAAAAGAUAACGCGUAUAUUUUUUGUGCCAAAGGGUCAAAGGUUAAUAAACAAACGAGCCACAAAUUACCGUCUAGCCAUACCAAUAAGAAUCUCAAUCGAAGUUUUACCAAUUUCAGAAAAAAUGUGAGCUACAUCAAUUAAAAACUUAAUAUUCGGCAAUUCAAAUGAUUAAAAGCAUUUAAAUCCGAGAUUUUGUGUUAAAUUGUCCCCUUCCCAGGGGACACAUUGGGACAAAUUCUACUUCAGUUUGGAUGGAAAAGAAUCCUUUGUAUCCCAAAGCAAACGUAGCCUGGCCUACAUCUGGCACACCUAAAAUUACAGUAGCAAAACCAACCAUGAACAAUAAUUAUGAUAUCUUACAGCUUCUCCAAUUCCAAUUGCUGAAUUCAGUAUCCUUCCUUUCCUAGUGCCUUCAAUAGUGAGUUUGACCUAAUUACCUUUGAGAGGGCAAUCCCAAAGCUAAUAGAAUGUUAUGAAUCCUAUGAAACAAUUCAAUUGGGUAUCUCCUUCAGUUGUAUCGAGGCAUUUUCAGAUAACAUCUAUACAAAAUGAAAGGCCGAAGAUGACAUAUUUAAAAAAUAAAAGAUUAAUGGAUUUAAUGUGGCUGUCGCUACUGUUGGUGGGGAUUUAGAGUUGACAUAUUUUACAAUGCGCGUGUAUGAUCAGGACAUAUUUGCAUGUGGGUUGGUUUCGUUUCUUGAGGGUUCACGCUUCUUUCAUGGCGUUGAAGACGAAAGGCAGACUACCAGAGAGAAUCUGUCAAAGUAAACAACAUACACCUGUGAAGGGGAAGAUUUUUUGUCAAAUGAUCGAAACCACACAAUCUCAAAGUAAACAACAUACACCGGUGGGGCCACAAGACUCUAUGGCCUAAUGGGAACAAGAAAUCUUGACUUUUUAAAAGUUAGCCAGUUGGGCUGAGGCGUUUGCAUGCGGAACUUUUCAAGCGAUUUCAUGACAUUGGCUUGUUUGAUAGAAGAAGCUUCACCAAUUAAAAUCUGAUCACAUGUAAACAAAGAACAAAUGGGAUAUCAAGGAGAGAGAAUGAUUCUCCAUUUUUACAAUAUUGACUUAUUUUUACAAUAUUGACUUGACUUGGAUUGGAAGAACUUAGAUGAAGCUACACAGGCAUCCCCACUUUUGCACCAUUUUCCACAAGUUGGCCAAAAGCUCUCAUCUUGACCAUUUAAGAUUUUGUAGUUUGAUGAGGAGGCUGACAGAAAGUAGCAUUUGAUGCACCAGAACUGCUGCUGCAAACCGGGUUCCCGAAAAGUCUGCAACACGUAAAAGUGACAACCAAGAGUGAUGGUGAGGGGAAAAUACACAAUUAUCAUAGGAAAUCAAGAUCAAGGCCCAUCAACUGUCUCACAUUAAUGUAUUUUUGUAUUCAUAACCCAGACUUAUUCUGGAAAUCUGAUUGUUCUGCAGAUCAACAAGCUGCAGUUGUGGGUUGAUGCUAUCGCCCAUGUUCAACGUAUCAUUAAACGCAUUGUAUUUGAGCUUCCUAUCAAGAGUUUAAAAGAAAUGAUCAGUUUCAUAAAUUUACAGUGAAAACUUUGAUGCAUAUAUUCUUUAGUGUUCUCCCUGGAACUUACACUAGUUGUAAAUUUGGAAGGCUGAAAAGCUUCUCUGGCACAACCCCUUGAAGUGAUCCAAAUUCCAUGGCCCUGUGUGCCAUAAAAGGAGAGAAGUUUAACAAAGGAUUUCAAAUAAAGUUUUCAAAGUUUCCUUUUCUUAGACUUGUGAAGAGAUACAAAGACUUUUAUACAACCUCCUGAGAACUUACAAAGUGGUGAGUGAGGGUAAGGUUGAGAACCAAAGUGGAGCUUCUGAUGGGUCAAAUGAGUUGUUGCUAAGGUCUCUGAGAGUAAAACAUUAGGAUUUGUCAGUUCAACAGAAAAACAAACAAUUUGCAGGAAUAUUGGAACUAGAAAUGAUAUACUCACACAUAAUUGAGGGAAUUCAUUCCACUCAAGUCAGGUAGAGGGCCUGACAAGUAGUUGUGGGCCAAAUUUCUGGAAGAGAAUAUAUAAACCAUGAAAAAUCUGAUUAACAACCAACAAGAUGAUGGUUAAAUAGAACAGUAAAAUUGAUACUCACAAUUCGUUGACAUUCGUAAGGUUGUUAAGAUCUGAGGGGACACUUCCAGCCAGAGCAUUUGUAUCAAGCCGACUGUUGCAAGCAGGAUUGUCUUGAGUCCAAGUGUUGUCAAGAAGCAUAUACUUAGAAGUGGAAAAUAAAACAAAGAAAUUCAAGAUUUGGUUUUACUUACAGAACCUCAAGAGUCUUAAUAAGUCCUAAUGUUACUGGGAUAGUACCAGUAAACCUAUUUCCGUCAAGCAACCUGCAAGCGAAGAACGAAAAUCAGUUAGACGAAAUAAAAAUAGAGAACAUAAACUAGUUGAUGGGAUCAACUUACAAGUGUAUCAGUGCCAUCUUAGAGCUGAAAAGUUUGGAAGGUAUGAUACCUGAAAGCUGGUUCUUGUUCAAAUGGCUGCAUGUUCAUAAAAUCAUUUUAGUGCUUAUGCAAUAUACAGUGGCAUAAUCCCUAUCAAAAUUUUACUUUUUCACAAUGGAGAAGAGUUGGGAUAUGGAUAAUUGCUCACAAGUGUUUAGCCUUCAACAGGAGGUCUAAGCCAGGGGAAUGGUAGGUCGAAAUUGGAAUUGUUCCAGUCAACUGAUUGUCUGCCAGGUCCAGCCAGUAGAGUUUGGAGAGUUUGCCCAAAGAAGGAGGUAUGACACCCGAAAAGUUAUUUGAAUUCAGAGCCCUGAGAAGGACCAAAGUUUUACAUAAAGUUGGGAAAAGAAAAAACUCAUAUUGACUUGAUGCACUAAAAGCAUGAUUACUAAUAUUUUCUUACAAGAAGGAUAGCUCUGCAAGAUUGCCUAAUUCAUCUGGAAUUUCACCAUUGAAGCUGCAACCAGCUAGGAUGCUAAAAGAUGAAAAGUGUCAUGAGUUCUCAUUCAAUAUAUAUAAAAAAUAAAAAAUGUAUGUUGCAUUUUGCAUAUACAAUGCUCAAAUUGGAAAUAGGAAAAUUGCUUGCUCAUUUGUUCUUACAGGAUACUUAAAUUUUUCAGAUUCCCUAAUCUUGGAGAGAGAGGACCUGUGAGGCCAGGGUUGAAAGAAAGGUCCCUGCACAGUGUGAGUGUUUCAGCUUCAAUAAUCAAACAUUAAGAUAUCAAAAUAACUGACAAUGCAAAAGAAAUAUGUUUCAAGUGUAUGCUUUACAUGUUUUAAAACUCACUUCAAAUUGGCUUUAAAACUCUUUUCAAAUUGGCGGUAUUGUGCAAAUACAAUGCUGGUAAAAAGAGGACACAUCAUACUCACAAGGAUUUUAAUUCAAUGAGUCCACCAAUGUCACCAUAAAGUUUCCCCUUGAGGCUUAUGUUUGAUAAUCCCCUGCACAUAAAAGCAGAAAUUUGUGGUAAGGGAAGAAAGUGAUAUCAUUGCCCUUUAACUACAAAGAUAGAUCAACAGCAGCACUCACAGUCCAGACACCCUUGAAUUGUUGCAGGUGACUCCCUCCCACCGGGAAUCACAGGGAUCAUUUGACUUGUCCCAACUGGGUGGCGUAUUUUGCCACGAAUUCUUCAAGGAUAGGAGCACAGCAGCUGGAUCGACAAGCUUAUAAAUCAAUCAAACUACCCUUAAGAGAGCUUUUAGGCAUAUAUGUGCAGAAUGUUCAUUUUUCAAUUAACAUAAAAGGGGAGAUCAUGCAAGAACAUACCAUCAUUGGGGUCUGUGACAGAGGAGAUCAUGCAAAUCCCUGCAGAAUAGAAGAUAGCCAGAAAGAGAAGCAUUCGCAUGGUUGCCAUGGUCAGGAGGAUGUCAAAGGCACUCAGCGAAGAUUUGGGUUCUUUCUCUUCACCCUUCUUCUGUGUAUAUAACAACUGCAAGGUGCAGCCCUUGACUUUUUUGACUUCUACUGAAUGAGGACUUAGUUGCAUGCAUGCACUGGCAAAAACAAAGUCCCCUUCCCAGUAAUUUAAUUAACAAUGCUUUUCUUUCUGAACAAGGAAGCCGCUUUAGUCGAUUCAUUUUAUAUAAACAAUGUGGACUGUCUAGUGCUUUUACCGUUUCCACCGCCUACCCGCGCAUACCAAAUUUCCAUUGAAUUGGUACAAACAGAAGCUCCAAGAAACCUUAUCUGCCUCUUGGAAAUUAAAUUUGGCUAUCUUCAACCAAUCAGGCACAUUUAGUGAAUAAUUGGUUUGAUGGAUUCAAUGAUGGUGAGAGCUAGCUAGUUUAUGUGACAGAUGUUUCAUGUUUUCUGUACACAUUUGAAUUUAUGUGUUUAGACUUCAAAGACUCUAAAAUCCCUCCGUUGGAGAAAACCUGAUGUCACCACUACGGCGGAAUUUCAAACCAAUAACACAUUGCCAUCUGUUUUAACUUUUCGACAUAAUAUUGCAUGAAGUUUGAGAUGACAUCCCAUCGCACAGAAACACUUCUCCCUCAGUUGAGCUACUAGUUGAACCCUUCUCCUAAUUGCAGCAUAAAAUUUCAUUCAAGUUUCUAACUUUCAUCCCAAAAUAAGAGGCUUGGGAUCAAAAUCUUCCCAACCUUAACACUCAUUCAUUUGACAUUGGUAGUCAACUUAACAACACAUAACUAAUUUUGUGUUUUCCAAUAAUUCUAAUAUUUUUUUAUGAUUGCAUUCAUCAACAGCAGUAUCUAUGUAAAGCAUAUAGCCGCUAUGCGUAAAGCCGUGCGGCUACGCUUUUUUUAAAUAAAAAAAAAAUCCCAAGUAUAGCCGAUCGGCUACAUUAUUUUUAUAAAAAAAAACAAAAAGAGGACCAGCCCAGAGCCUUGCGAUUCGGCACCCAUGUGUCAAAACAGUACCGCCGUGGGGCUAUACUAUUUUUUUAUGAUUAAAAAACCAAGUAUAGCCGCACGGCUACACUAUUUAUUUUUUUAAAAAAAAACCCGCCGGCGACUGCUCCGCUUUGCCACGUGUCAAAAAUAGUACAGCCGCGCGGCUAUACCAUUUGCCACGUGUUAAAUGUAUAGCCGAGCGGCUAUACUAUUUUUAAUAAUAAAAAAUCGUAAUAUAGCCGCGCGGCUAUAAGCUUUUCAUACUAAAACCUAGGGGACCCGCCUGGCGCUUAGCUCCCGCUUUGGCACGUGUCAAAAACAGUAUAGCCGCCCGGCUAUACGCUUUGAGUAUAAUAGGAUCAUAAAUGGGCCCGCAUGACCCACUAAACAUCAACUGGAACCUUAAGAAACUGGAAGUAGAAGCUAGAAACUCAAAGCCCAGACGCCUGGAAGACGCAAACUGAUACCACGAAGAAGAGAAAUCAAUGGCAGGGACGUUAGUAUCUCGGGCCUUCCUUCUUCUUACCGCCUCUAACUACAAGUCCAAUCCUUUCCCCUUUGUUCUCAGUAAGCGUCUCAUAGGCAUAGCCAUAGCUGCAGCCAACCACUCCAACAAAACCAUCUCUUUUGCUUCUUCUUCUUCUUCACUCACAGAAAACCACCCCAGGAGGUUGCUUCUCCCAUUAUCGCUAUCUCCUUUUCGUACCUUCGAUAGUUUUAGGUUCAGCUCCUCCGAACCCAGCACCAAAGUCAAUACCAAGGUUAACUUCUCUCUUCCUUCAGACGACAAAGACGAUGACGAAACGACGACGAAAACCGCCACCAAAGAGAUCGACAAGUCGAAGCUCCCUCCCCCGUACGACCCUUUCAACAAGAAGCCCGCCAUCGAGGACCCAGAAGACCCAAAAGACCUGCAAGAAGUCUUCCACAAGAUGCGCACCGAUGGCCUCACUAACAAUGCAGUCAAGAUGUUCGACGCAUUGUCCAAAGACGGCUUAACCCACGAGGCCCUGGAGCUCUUUGCUCAAAUCAAGGACAAGGGUCAUAUGCCAGACGUUGUUUCACACACUGCCGUCAUAGAGGCCUACGCCAAUGCCGGCAAGACCAAGGAGGCUCUCAAGGUGUACCUGCGCAUGUUAGCCUCUGGGGUCGCCCCGAACGCCUACACUUAUACUGUUCUCAUCAAGGCGCUGGCUGCCGACCCCAGCUGUAAGUUCCUUGGGGAUGCCAAGAAGUAUUUGCUGGAGAUGAUGGGCAAGGGAAUGCGGCCCAAUGCCAGUACCUACACGGCAGUGUUCGAGGGGUUUGCGAGGCACGAGGAGAAGGCAGAGGAGGGGAGGGAGUUGCUGGUGGAAAUGAAAGCUAAGGGGUUUGUGCCGGACGAGAAAGCUGUGGGGGAGGUUCUUAAGAGCAAGAGAGGGCCUGUGGUUAGAAGCGUCAUCAACAUUCUCUUUGGCAAGUAGAUAGAUUUUGCUCGUUCUAUGUUUUCGUUUUUCUUAUGAAGUUUGGAACUUGAAAUGAAAUGCCAAUUCAACCAAUUCAAAGUUAAAUCUCUGAUGACUGGUGAGAAGCGGAUAAAAUAUUGCUCCUCAAAACAAUUCAAACUUUAGGACAUGAGACAUAACUUUUUCUUCAAGAAAUGUUUACCACCUACGUAAAUUUAAAAACACACCUACAUUCACUGAUUAUAAUGUCAAACAAAAUACAUUCGUGAGAGGGAGAGAGCAGUUCAAAAUUAAUUCCUAUAGCUCUUUUAGAAGUCUCGUUCAAUUUGAUUCUUGUAAACACGCUGGAGUAGCAGCAUCUCCCAAUCUCCUUGACCACGGAUGCCCCACAAACACAAAAUAGCGGUGGCAGCAGCAGCCUCUAACCCACCACGGUGCUGGAAAACUGAUGUUUAAGGAUGCACGUAACCCACCAGCGGUUCUGCAAAACUGAUAUUUAUGGAUGCACAUCUAAUAUCCUUGCUUGGUAGGGCAUUCUGAUGCCCUGUGGCCAGACCUCCCACAAUUGAAACAGGAACCUCCAAAGCUUCUGGAACAGCAAAUUCAGAUAUAAUUUCAGUUGUGCAAAUUUGAAUAUCAAUCAAGGAGCAACCACCCCUAUGGGACCAUAAGUUGAGAAAACCUUAUUGAUUUGAAUAUCAAACAGUAGGGUAUUCUGGUAAAUUAGUUGUUCAUUAUGCCAGGAAUGCAAUCUCUUUCCAUUUCAGUUAGUUAAGCCCUGACUGAUACAUUACUCCGGUUUAGACCCAAGUCUCAUUUAAGAGAAGGCGAUUGAUUAUUAGCAUAAGAGUGGGGAGGGAAAAUUUUGAAAGAGGAGAGAUAUUAAAAACAAAGAAAAAUAAUUCCCAAACUCGUCAACAAUGUACACUAAGAACUGUCGUUGCUGGCUCAUAAGUUCAUAACAAGUUCAGACUCUCUAUAUAUUUUACCAAGUGAGCACAUUCUUCUACUUGAGACUAUAAGAUCACUGCACUAUUAGAUGGACUAUUAGAUGUUUUUAAUUUGCUAGAGUAACGGUUAUUCUUCUUUCAAUGUUAACUCAAGAAAGAAUGAGAAACUUGAAAUGUGUAGAUAAUAUACCUGUCUCGGGAUGAUGACCUGCUUGAUGGUCUACCUCCAAUAAGCCAAUCAUCAUCUGUGCUUCUUGAAGUCCGAGAUUGGCUGUUGCUAUUUCCAAAACUUCGACCACCACCUCUACCACCACCUCUACCACCACUCCUAAAUGAAUCAUCGGCACCAUCACUAGAACCCCAACCCCUGGAACUUCUAAAACCUGAUGAUCCUUGACGAUCCCUAGAACCUCCCCGUCGACUAUUCCGAUCUCUGCCUGAAAAUCUGCCAUAGUAGUCAUUCACUGGCCCAUCAUCUUGCAGAGCUGGCAACUGACAACACAGAAUAAUACAUGCAUAUAAACAUCUCUGUUAGUAGUUUUUUCAUGCAAAAGCUGCAAUCAUGAGAAAGUGACCAAAAGCAAAAGUAGACCUUGUUUAUCUUGGAAAUAGUGUUUCCAGGAGGUAUUUGUCUAUUUAGUAACUCUUUUGCAAUCUCUUCUGGAAGAUCAAAAACUGCUCCUUGAACCUGAUAUUGUCACCAUCAAAAUUUGUUUCAAGUGAAAUGAAUUAAAGCACUGGAUCAAAAUAAGCAUGAGAUGUUGUAAAUACAAACCCUUUCGUCUGCAAUUAUAUGUAUUUUUCCUACUUCAUCAGCUGCUGCAGAAUAAACAUCUGAAAGAAACCCAGUGACAGAUCUAGCAGACAGGAACCCUCUGGCAAAAGCUGGAUCUCUAAUAAUUUGCAAUGUCGUCCAUCCCUGCAUAUAAUUUUCCAGUUCAAAUAAUAUAACAAAAUACCUGAGGAAGGUUCCAAAACACACACACACCCUAAACCCUAAAUCCUAAAUCUCACUCCACCAAGAACAUAAACAACCUAAACAGAAAAUUAAGCGUAAAUUGACUUCGAUAAUUACCUGCUCAUGAGUGAUAAGGGACCGGGAUGAUGGAGGUCGAGAAAAUCCACUCAACUGUGCUAGUGCAGCAGCAAGGGCAUUUGUUCCCUGUUCAUCAAUCAAUUUCUGUGCAGUUGGUGUGAAAAAUUGUACAGAUUCAGGAUGAACUCCACUGAGAGUAGCAACCACGUGCUGAGCAGAAGACUCUAAAACUUCUUCAAUAGUUGGUGGACUAACAAACUCAAACUUGCACCCCACAUCACGCUCAAGAGUUCUAACUGUUCUCCUCUGGUUGUUAGUAAACAUCAGAACGGCAGUACCUUGUUUCCCUGCACGUCCAGUACGCCCAGAACGAUGCACAAAUGUCUCUGAAUCAUUGGGAAGUUCAUAGUGGAUCACCUGGAAAAAGAAAAGGAAAAAAAUAUUAUUGAAGCCACAGGCUUAUCAAGGUGUUGGCAGCUGAACUCUGGUAAAGACAUACAGAGUGGUAAUAGUUUCAUAUAAACGUGUACUAGGACCAAAAUAAGUAUAAUUAAAAUUUGAUUAGGAAUCAUAGGUAAUUCCUGGAGCUUACCAAAUCAACAUUGGGAAUAUCAAGUCCACGGGAUGCAACAUCAGUGGCAACAAGCACAGUGAAUUUCCCUUGCCGAAAACCAUUUAAUGUUCUCUCUCUUUGAUGCUGUGAUAUAUCUCCAUGCAAUGCCUCAGAAGCUAUGCUAGUUGUUAAUGACAUUGAGACUUCAUCAGCAUCUCGUUUUGUUUGUGUAAAAACAAUGGUCUUCCCACCCUUUGCAUAAACCUGAAGAUAUGACAUUCUUCAGUGCUAUGCGAUAAAUGUUCCCUUUUUGAAAUAAUGUACAACUAUGCGGAUCCAUCUUAUGACAGUUAUGAGAUACCAUGGCAAUAGUUAAGAUCUAUCAGAAAGCCAUGCAUAUGAAACAUUUGUCAUUUGAAAUAGAUAUAAUCAACAUCGCCAUCCGCAGUUAUGAGAAAAUUAGAUACCAUGAGGCAGAGAGUUUUUUUUUUUUUUUCUUCAUAUGAUGUCAGUUAUGAGAUAUCAUAACAAUGAUUAAGUUCUAUCAGAAAGGCAUGCAUAUGAAACAUCUCUCCUUUUCAAAUAGUGGACUUGGCUGGCUGAGAUUUCUAACACAUCAGAAGUUACAAUAUUUCACUAUCUUGUUCAAAAUGAGCCAAAACAAGAGAAAAAUAAAGAGUUCCAACUCUUACCGUUAUAAGGUCACUAAGAAUGGUCCGCUUUGAAGAUCCAGUGGUUGAUAAAGCAUAAAGUUUGAUCCCUUCUGCAAGCUUCUCCUCUUGGUCACCAACCUUUGGAAAAUAAGAAAGUAGAAAAGGAAAAGUUUUAAGAUUUACUUUCCACUUUACAAUAUAAACAUAAGAAAUGCCGAAUUAGGACUUUGACAUUACUUCAAAGUUUAAACAACUACAACUUCCAUUGGCUUUAAUAUCUCCAGUUUGUAAGCGUAACUCCAUGCCAUAUUCUAAUUGCACAAGAUUAUAAACAAAGAAAAGAAAGAAACCUAAAGAAUUAACAUUACCAAAUCAAUCGUCAAUGGGUUGUCCAAGUAUUUCCGUGCUAGUUUUUUCACCCAAGCAGGCAUAGUUGCAGAAAACAGCAUGCUUUGCCUCUGAGUUGGAAGCUUUUGUAAAAUUACUUCCACAUCCUCCUCAAAUCCAACAGCAAGCAUUGAAUCAGCUUCAUCGAGUACCAAAUAUUGAACUUCGCCCAGUUUGAGGCUGUUACCAUUUAUCAGGUCAAUAAUUCGACCAGGAGUUCCAACCACCACAUCAACUCCACGCGAGAGAGCACUUUGUUGUGUUAUGUACGAAACCCCACCAUAAACACAAACAGUGUUUAGAUAAGGUGCAGAUUCUUUAAUCUCUUUUUCCACUUGUUUCGCUAACUCCCGAGUAGGUGCAAGGACCAGAACUCUAGGAAGAUAACCAGUCCGCCUGUAAAAGGAGAAAUAGAGAAAUUCAUCAAAAGAUUUUCAAAAAAGAUUAGUCUUUAGUUCUAAUGUGUGAAAAAUAAAUGGUACCUAUGAGAACUUCUCUGUUCAUCAUCCUCUGUGAGGCGCUUCAGUAUUGGAAUUCCAAAGGCUAAUGUCUUUCCAGUCCCAGUCUUUGCACGAGCAAUGAUAUCUCGACCUUCCAAUGCAGGUACUAGCACAGCCCUCUAAAAUUUUUAAAGAAAAAAGUAACUAGAAAAUCAUUAUACACAUACCUUGAUAAACACAUUUUGAUACAUAAAUAUAAAAAUGUUAAAUUUGACAAGAAAAGGUCACUGUGUGAUGAGACUAAAAUAUUUACACGCCAGAACAAGACAAACAACACAACAUGGGAGGAUGAACAAAGAAAAUGCAGGUAGAUGAUGGAUAAUGUUAUGAAGGGCACCAAAAUGGCUACAAAAUGUUUUAAUCUGCAGAAAGCUUACAUAUUGCCAUACAAACACACAAUCUAAAGGAUGAUGCUCAAAAGGGUUGUGAAAAAAACUAAAUUAGAGUAAGUUCAUCAUUACAGAAAUAGAAAAAACACAACUUUUAAAAUAAAAAGAUAAGAAAAGCAAAACCAGAGAGAGGAACAAAGUACCUGAAUAGGGAAAAGGCUUGAAAUGCCACGUUUCUCAAGGCUGUCGACGAGGCGCUGAGGCAAACCCAAUUUGGAAAGAGCGAGCUCAUCAUCAUCACCGGCGGCAGAAGCUGGCUCAGUUUCAGAGUCAUAUUCCGAGUCCGAGUCCAGAGAGUCUUUAGAGAAGCCACCAAGCCCUUUGAACGCCUCUUCACUGAGCACCGAAUUGGGCGUUGCAAUAGCUGAAGCAACAAGACUAGACUGCCUGACCAGGCCACUCUUGGCUCUCAAAACACUGUUAAAGUGAGGCCUCUCUGGAAACGCAAGAGAAAGAGAAGGGCUGCUAGUUGUAGCUGUUGUUGUUGUCGUUGAAGCUGCUGCUCUUCUGUAAAGCUCACUACAUGGAGUCUGGGGAUAGAUAGAAGAAACGCCUAUAAUAGAAGUCAUUUCUGCAACUAUAGCAGAAGCGGCUUUGCUCUGUUCGCUCUAACUCGCCCUUCUUUCUUCUCUUAUCUCUUUGACCCCAACGUGCUCGUUGAAAGUCCCAAGAGAAAAAGAAGAAGAAAAAGAAGAAGAAGAAGAUAGAGGAUAAUGAGAGAGGCAGAGAGGCUCAAAGAUAAUUUAGGUCUGGAUAAAUGAGAGUGAUGAAGGGGGCGGCCUCUGUAGGUUUAAUAUAGAGCGAUAGAGAGGAGUGAGAGUGAGAGGGAGAUAAGGCCACACUACAACCUUUGCGAAUGUAUGGCCUCCCAAACCUCCACCUCGGUUAAUAUUUCGCAGAGCCCCGGAUAUUUCUUCCCGGGUCCAAAUUCAUAUUGCGACUUGACCCGAAAACGCCGGGCUCUCUUCUACCCGGUGCCGGUAGUUACUAUUAUUAUUAUUAUUGUUCUUUUUUUUUCCCUUGAAUCCAACCUUUCUAGCGCCUAGUAUAUUGUAUUACAAUUAUCUGAACCCUUUAUCUUUUAAGUAUUGCAUAUAAAUUUAAAAUUAUUUGACAAUUCAAUAUGUUUUAAUGGUUUUCAAUUUAUUUAAGGGUUAGUUUGAGAAUACUUUUAUAGAAAGCACUUCUAUUUAUAAGCGUAUUUUUACAAUCGCUUUAUUAGAGAAACGUCAACAUUUUUGAUCCACAAGCAUUUAUAAGUUUUUCUCUCGAACACUAUUUAGAAGCUUUAUGAAGCACUUUUAAUCCUUUUAAAAGCAUUUCCAAAUAUGCUCUAUUUAUAUUUUAUUUUUAAAAUGAUUUUAAUAAUUAAAAUAAGAAUAGACCUCACAAGAUCCCUCGCAUAAAAUAUUUGAGGAAUACAUAGGAGGAUACUGCAAUUCUAGAAUUUUAUAAUUCUAUAUCUGGGGUCAGUUGGAGUUCGAUUGCCAGCCAAUUCUGGGGAAAAUUCUGUGGUGCCUCAGCUGUACCGGUACAGCCAGCUAUCCAACGGUUGAGGUUCCAUGUUAAAAAAGGAUGGCUGAGAUUCAAUGACCUAAUGACCUCUUCAGCCAUUGUGAUUCAGCAUGUGAGUGGCAUGUGAGGAAAGAGAAAGGCAGGUUUGGAGGAGGAGAAGACGCGACCAGUCCGCUCCAUUCUGGUUUCCCAAAUCGAACACAACAUAGGGAACUAGAGGACUCUGUGAGACCCCAUUUCUGUCUACCUCUGUGAAUACUGAGUUUUCGGAGCAGUAGAGACUCGGGCUUUAGCCCUUUCAUCUGAAGUGAAGGGGGGCUUACAGAAGUCACAGCACCAGAGGAAACUGUACAUGAAGCCGAUCCAAUCCGUAGCGCCUCCAGGAGCUCUUCUCUGUGCUUGCCCAAAUUCAAUCCUUAGCAACUCCUGUCUGUGCUUGGGCAAAACGCAUCUGCAAGAAGGUAAUGGUAAUAGAAUUGAGGUCCUCAACUCUUCUCUCUAGUUGCCCGAAACUGAAAUGCAGAUACCAAAUUGAUGGUGGGUCCAACCUCCAUGAUGAAAUGGUCACCAAAUUGGAGGGAUUUAAGUAAUUUAGUAUGGGCUGUUGGCAUUGUGUGAUAUAUAAUUAAAAUUUUGCAGGGGAAUGGAUUUGUAAUAAUAAUGUGGUUGUAAAGAUUUUGAAGAUCCUUGGCUGUUAACGACGAAAUUUGAGGUGGUGGCAAAAGGAAGUGAAAGGAGGAGGCUUUGAAAGUAUGGAAACAUCAAGUAAGAUGUCAAAGAACCCUAUUUUCUGGUUUAGGACUUGAAUGUAUUUUGGGUAUUGAGUUGAUGCAAUUGCAUGUUUUUAGUUGCGAAACAGUUAUACGUGGUCAAUUAUUGACCUUAGUAUGUGCAAUAGCAUGACAUUAUUCAUUUGAGUUUUUUUUUUUAAGAGAAAGUAUGUUAGCACAUAGAGUAUAAUGUAAUUUCAGUUUGAAAUUAUGUUUCUCAGGCAUGGAGAGGUCUGGUAAGAUGGACAGGGGUGGAGAGACAUCAAAGGGUGGUUAUAGUGAUUCAGGGUAUUUGGAUGGUUGUGAAAGGUCAAGUCACAGGGCACCGGCAACAGAGAGUGGGCAUAUGUCGGUCGAACAUAUGGUUAGUGAAAGUAGUGAUGAUAAUGGUGUUGACAUUAUUGCACCGAGGAAAGAAGAUGUUAUGGGGAAAGAGUUUAAAACGAUAAAAUUAGCGGAAGAAUAUUAUAUGAGUUAUGCGAAGGGCAUUGGAUUUAGCGGGAGAAAAAACAAAUUGGUUCGAAAUUCGGAAGGGAAAGUAUGUAGGAGACGGUGGUGUUGUUCUAAAGAAGGUUUGAGAAAUGAGAAGUUUAAUGAUCGAUCAAAUAGGAUGGUAGAUAUUUUAAUAAGCAUAGUUUUGUUUGUCUUUGCGCUAUACAUUAAUCAGCGUAGCGUUGUUAAGCUUUGUUCAGUUUGCACACAGGGGAUCAGUAUUUGCAUUGAACACAUGCAAUUGCAUGACGAUGAUGCAAUGCAAGUCCUUCUGUGCGCAAACCCCUAAUUGUUUAGAAAAAUGAAUCUUAUUCUUUUGUACAGGCAUAAUUACACCUGUUUUUUAAACUAUAAAUCGAAGGUCAAAAUUAACCGAAAUACAGAGCAUGAGAAACGAUAAGGGGCAAUAAGCCGAACAUAUUAUAUUACAAAGCGACCAAUUAUCGAAAUUACGUUGUAAUACACAUUGUCAUGUAGCACAUUUGACUUGAGGGUAGAUCCCGAAUUGUGUAAAACACAAUGUCAUUAACCCUAAUAUUGAAUAAUAGACAUAGGGUCAACUAAGUGUUUGCUUGGUUUUGUUUGUCUUUGCGCUAUACAUUAAUCAGCAUAACGUUGUUAAGCUUUGUUCAGUUUGCACACAGGGGGUCGGUAUUUGCAUUGAACACAUGCAAUUGCAUGACGAUGAUGCAAUGCAAGUCCUUCUGUGCGCAAACCCCUAAUUGUUCAGAAAAAUGAAUCUUAUUCUUUUGUACAGGCAUAAUUACACCUGUUUUUUAAACUAUAAAUCGAAGGUCGAAAUUAACCGAAAUACAGAGCAUGAGAAACGAUAAGGGGCAAUAAGCCGAACAUAUUAUAUUACAAAGCGACCAAUUAUCGAAAUUACGUUGUAAUACACAUUGUCAUGUAGCAUAUUUGACUUGAGGGUAGAUCCCGAAUUGUGUAAACUUAUAUUGACUAAUAGACACACAUUAAUAUAGAAGUGUAUUUAGUGGAUUUGGUUUCUAGUGCAUAUCCCUUGGUACAAGGCCUAGGUUCGAGUCAUAGUUAUGUGCAUAUAUUUGUAAUUUUAUUCCCUUUUUAUUAUAAGAACAAAAUUUUAAAUAGUUUUAAAAAAGAAGCACGUGAAAAAUAUAAGAGGAUAGAUCCAAUUAAACCAACAAUAGUAUAUAUCGCACCCAUACAUUUUUUCCUUAAAAAAUAAUAAUAGUAAUUUCUUCAACUCAAAACAAAACACCCAUUCAUGUCUUCUUCUUUCUCGUGAACUUUUAUUUACUUAACAAAUGCACUCCCUGCGUUCGCCUGAAAAAUAGCUCAUUUGUUUGAAAAACUAAGUUAGUGGGGUCCAUUUUCCAAGGGAACGGUAACUUUACUCAACGAAAGUGCCCAUUGCGUUCGCGUGAAUAAAUAUCUCAUUUGUUUGAAAAAGUAAGUUAGUGAGGUCCAUUUUUCCAGGGAACGGGCAACUUUACUCAACGAACGCAACCCCUACGUUCGCGUGAACAAAUAGCAUGUUUAUUUGAAAAAGUAAGUUAUUUGGGCCAAUUUUACCGAGGAACGAGUAACUUUUCUCAACGAAAGCAACCUCUGCGUUCACGCGAACAAAUAACCUGUUUGUUUGAAAAAGUAAGUUAUUUGGGCCCAUUUUUAUGGGGAACGGGCAGCUUUACUCAAUGAACGCAAACCAUUGUGUUCGCAUGAACAAAUAACUCGUUUGUUUGAAAAAGUAAGUUAGUUGGGCCAAUUUUUCCGAGGAACGAGCAACUUUACUCAACGAACGCAACAUCUGCCUUCGUGUGAACAAAUAGCCCAUUUGUUUGAAAAAGGAAAUUAGUUGGGCCCAUUUUUCUGGGGAACGGGAGAUUUUACUCAACGAACGCAACCCAUUGCAUUCGUAUAAACAAAUAGCCCGUUUGGUUGAAAAAGUAAGUUAAUUGGGUAUACUUUUGGGGGAAACGGGCAACUUUACUCAAUGAACGCAGCCCCUGCGUUUGUGUGAACAAAUUGCCAUUUGUUUGAAAAAGUAAGUUAGUUGGGCUCAUUUUUCCGGGGAACGGGCAACUUUACUCAACAGAUGCAACACCUGCGUUUGCGUGAACAAAUAGCUCGUUUGUUUGAAAAAGUAAGUUAGUUGACCCAUUUUCUCCAUGAACGGGCAACUUUACUCAACGAACGUAACCCCUGCGUUCGCGUGAACAAAUAGCUCGUUUGUUGGAAAAAGUUAGUUAGUUGGGUCUAUUUUUCCGGGGAAUGGGUAACUUUACUCAACAAACACAACUUUUGCAUUUGCGUGAACAAAUAAUCCGUUUAAUUAAAAAAAGUAAGUUAGUUGGGCCCAUUUUUCCUGGGAACGAGAAACGAGGAACGGGCAACUUUACUCAACGAACGCAAUCCCUGCGUUCGCAUGAACAAAUAGCUCAUUUGUUUGAAAAAGUAAGUUAGUUGGGUCCAAUUUCCUUGGAAACGCCAACUGUAUUCAACGAACGCACCCCCUGCAUUUGCGUGAAAAAAUAGCGUGUUUGUUUGAUAAAGUAUUUUAGUCCGUCAAAUUUUCCGGGGAACGACGAACUUUACUCAACAAGCGCUCCCCUUGCGUCUUCGAAGUAAAAUACCUUGUUUGUUGAGUAAAUCAAGGAGUUCGUUGGGUAAUUUGGUCAACGAACAACAUUAUUUACUUGACGAACGAGUCGCUUAGCGUUCUUUAGGUAGGUUUGUUGGGCAUAAAUUACUGAAUAUAACUUUCAUAAUUUACAAAGAACCAAGGUAAAAUGAAGGAUUAUUUAAGGAGUUACUUCCUCUACAUUUCAACUCAAAGACUUCCACCUCUUUUGUACUUAAUCCAUUAUUCAAACACAAUCUGAGAGACAAAAACAGAAAACCCAAACAAUGUCACAUUCAAUGGUUGGUAGCUCAAGAGGCUCCACCACACCUAAGAACAAGAGGUUGGGUGAUGAUGGUGUUAAUUCUUCGAAUUAUGUCCGCCAACAAGUCAAACGAGCCCAUGAUGUCACGAAGCCUCCCACCGAGGCUAGUAACAACAUCUUUGAUGAAGGAGAUUCAACGACCAAGUACCACAUUUACAAUGGCGGGAUUGAGAUCGGCUUUGAGAUGUUUAGGAAAUACGCUCAGCUUGAUGGUGGUUCAACUAAGUGGGACAAAAUCCAGGUAUACGAAGCAAUUGCUAUUUUGGAGAAGCGAGCUCCGUGAAACACCGGUAUUGUAUGAUUUAUUUGGUGUUGGUUGUCAUCAUUUCUGAUGUCAUUUCAGAUGUUAUAAUUUCAGCCAUAAUAUCGGAUGUUAAAUGUUAGAAUCGGUAUGGUAGAAUAGUUUGAGGGUAUAAAAUGUACAAAAAAAUAACCCCAAAAUAUGGUUACGAGACCUUUAUUAUCAAUCUAGUAGGAACUCCUGUUUGGUAAAUGAAGUCGGGGCUUCAAUACCCUGCUAUCAUGUUCCCAUUGCGGCAACAAAAAAACUCUGGUGUGCAAUGUAUUACGUGAAGUAGAUAACGUCCAAUUGGCCGUCACAUAAUGCAAUUGUCCAUGACAUACUGCAAACACAACGUCCCUGUAUGCAAACAGGAAUACGUACAUGCAAUUGCACAACCUUAACCAUCAACCUUAUGUGCAUGCAGUUACAGUAUAUGGAACUAAUAAUAAUAAUAAUUUACUAUUAAAUAUAUAUUAUUCUAUAGAUAAUAUGUCUAAUUUAUAUAAUUCAUAUAGCAAUAUAUAUAAUAUAGAAUUUAUAUAUUUUUUACCUUUUUAUUUUCUACUAUUUCAUAUAUAGUUUCCUAACACAUAUAGAGCCCUUCCGGAACCCCUUCUUUCUUCUUGAACAUCACCUUUUCCUUUGCCUUCUUGAAGUCUAUAUGUGUCACCUGAUGCACACAAUUUAAAUGUAACACCCACGUUAAUUACAAUGAUUAAGCAACCAGUUGAAUCAAACACAGUAAGAAAUGAUAAACAAAUUUCAGAGAUUCAAGAUGGGGAAGGGAGGUUGGAAGAUCAAAGUGUCUUUCUCACCUUCAUACGGCGCUCUCUCAAAGCAAGCAAACCAGCUUCAGUACAUAUUGCCUUUAUAUCAGCCCCAGAGAACUCAUCCUUGGUCAUAACAAAUUCUUCUAAGUUGACAUCAUCAGCCAACGUCAUCCUGGAUGUGUGAAUCUGCAAUCAAUAGAUCCAAUCAUCGUUAGUCACAACCAUAAAAACUUGGCACGUUUGAUGUUGAAUUUGUUUCUUUCUUAUAAACAGUCAUGUCAAUUUACCUGGAAGAUGCGCCUCCUUGUUUUGAUAUCAGGAAGAGGGAAUUCAAUCUUCCUAUCUAUUCGGCCAGGACGAAGCAAGGCUGGGUCAAGACUCUCAAUUCUAUUUGUUGCCAAGAUCACCUUGACAUCUCCUCUUCAAUCAAAACCAUCUAACUGGUUCAGUAACUCCAACAUGGUCCUCUGAAUUUCACGUUCACCACCUGAAUGGGCAUCAUACCUGCAGACAAAAGAUCAUCUGGAACAUUUGAUUAACAGUAAUUUACAAUCUUUUCAUCAAUGUUCAGCGACUUGCAGCUCACCUCUUUGUACCAACUGCAUCAAUUUCGUUGAUGAAGACAAUGGAGGGUGAGAGGUCAUCAGCAACCCUAAAGAGUUCCCUCACUAAUUUCGGACCAUCCCCCAAGUACUUCUGAAUCAACUCACUACCAACAACACGUAAGAAAGUUGCUGAUGUUGAGUUUGCCACUGCCUGAAAAAAGUGAAAAUAUGCUUACACGCUGAGAAGAUAAUUUGACAAGAAGAGUGCAGAUACAACAAAUAUGCCAUAAGCAAACAUCAUUGAAAGGAACUCUGUGGGGCACGCAUAAUUUUCGUUAACUGUGACAAUAAAAUUUUGAAACUAGACAGGUCUUUGCAACAAAUUUUGUUGGUGCUUGCUCUGACCCAAAUGUCUAUUGUGAGUAUGAUAUCGGUGGGUGCAUGAGAGAGAGGUGCACCCACAAACAUACAAACAAACAGGAAAACUAGCAAAAGCAAUUGCUACUGGUGUCAGCAUUGCAAAAUACACAAAAAUGGUGACAGAAAUAGAGAGCAAACUAUAAUAUCACAAAAUGAGAAUAGAUGCAGCGACCUGUUGGAAGGAAAAUAUCAGUUUGAUGAUAUUUGACACCCAACUAAUGACAACUGCAUCCCUACGGCAUGUUGCAUACAGAAUAUGAUACAAAUUGGAAAACAACAUGGGAGACAAGUCUGAAAUCUUGCAACUUAAUUGAAACAGUGAAGCAGGUGACUGCACCCUGAUUUUUUUGUAACAUGUGCAAGUGGGGAGGAUAUUCUAGUGAACAAGACAGAACAAGGAUACCAAAAGAACAAAUAAAUACAAGCAAAAGUUGAGAUACGUGCAUACUUUGGAAAAAAAAAACUAUAUACUGUAAUUGCAUUCAAUGACUUGGAUUUGCAUACAGGCUAUUAGUAAUUGCAUACAGAAAUAUGCAAUUGCAUGAACAUUACAGCCAUCAAUGUCAGAUACCCACUUCACCUCACGCCACUUUCAGAAUCACAAACCCACCACAAUCAAAUCAUACACAAUCAGAGGCCUCAUGGGUAUUCAUAUAUACAAUCAGAUCAAGAGGCACUAUAACAACCCAGCAGAAAUGCACAGUGGGAAAAGAAAUACAAAAUUUGAAUAAUUAAUUUCUGGAAUUGUUCAAUGAAAAAACUGAAACAACAAUUCAAAAUCACUAGAAGAAUAAAUUAAAUAGAACCAUCAAUUACCCAUAACGAAAAUCAAGACACGAACUUACCGAGAUGGAGGAAGCAGCUGGAGAAGACGAAGUGGGUUUCUGGGUUUUGGUUGAAAUAUGCUCCUCAGAUGGAGAAGACGAAGUGGGGGGAGCUUCUUCAGGCUGUACGAAGCUGUGCAGCUGUGACUUCACCGAAAUAGAGCUGUGGCUGUGCAAAGCUAUGGAGGAGGAGAUAGACGAAAUCGAUCUGUGUGCAGCCUAGGUUUUGAACGCGCGGGAGCUUUUUUUUCCUUAUUUUCACUGGUUAACCAAAAGAACCAGUUUCACUUGUUUUUAAAAAAAGCCCACGUGACUAGCAUGUGAUGGGCUGUACAGGUACAGCCGGCGCACCACAGCCAAACUCUGGACUGACUCACACUAUUUAUGUUUAAGGGAAAAUUAAUAUAUAUUUAAUUAAUUAAAUAGGGGGCAUUAUUAGGUAACGUUAAAAUAAAAAAUUUUAAAAAAGGUUGGAGCUAUUUUCAUAAUUUUCAUGGUGUAUUUUGUUGAUUAGUUGUACAGCGGGACUGGAAGGGUUCCAGCCAGUAAAGCAUUUCCUGCGAGGCCUUUGCUUCUUCCUCCUCCUCCUCCUCCUUCUUCUUCCUUUGAUCUUAUCGCAGGCGACGGUUUCACAUCUCAUUCGCAGAUCUUCAAAUUGACCUUCACGCCUUGACUAUCUAAUGUUUAGUUCUUCAAACGCUUCAAAGGUAAAGUUGCCUUCCAGCUUUCGCCUUCAAUUUGUCUUCCCAAUUAAAUUCAGUCAAAACCCUUUUUUUUUUCGGCAGCCAAUUAAACGGAGAUGUUCACCCGUUCUCGAUUCCACUUUUAUUUUUCUUUUUUGAUGAAUUUAUUUUCAACGGUUGCAGGCAUUUCAAGCAAUUCAAAUAGAGUGUGAGGGUUAGGGUUUACGAAUUCCCCACCCUUCCCUCACUUUGAUGGAAUUCUUCGACUUCUAACAAGCGAAAUAUUGCGUAGAGAUAUUGAUAAACACUUCUGCUCAGGUUUUGAUCAUUGACUAGCUCAAAGGGGCUUGGUUUGAUUAGAGGUUUUCAAAAUGGCGGCAUCGGUCCCAAUCUACCUGAGCAUUGUCGCUUUUUUCUGCACUGUUGGAGCCAUAGCUUUGGCCAUUUCGCACAUCUACAGGCACCUCAUGAAUUACACAGAACCUACUUAUCAGAGAUACAUUGUCCGCAUUAUCUUUAUGGUCCCAGUGAGUAUUUAAUUCGAAGAAAACCCCACCUUGAAAUGUUAAUAAUUUGUAUCAUUUGGAUUUUAUCAUACCCAAAUUUUCUUAUCAGUUUCGUUGCAUAGCUUUUUAGAGCUGCGGUUACAUUAUUUCAUUCGACUUUUGUGUGAAGUCAACUGAAUGAAUUUCUGCUUUGUCAUUUACUGAGUUGUUGGCUUGUCAAUGUUAAUCAUGGAGUGAUGAUUAUCUUCUGGUGCUGUUUUCAAUUUCCUUGUGUUGUUUUCUCUUGAGGAUUGCUGCUUGCAUAUGCUAUGUAUAGAUUGUUUAUGCAUGAGCCUUUUAAGAAAAUUUCCAGCAAAUUGAAGGGAUAAAUGAACAAGACGAGGGUGUGUUGCAAUAGAGUGCUCCAGGACCUUGUAGUUCCUGUUGUUUCCACCACUUCCCCAUCAAAAAUUGAGGAGAACAGCAGUUUUCUGUGUUUUUUUUUUUUUUUUUUUUUUGGUUUCCUUUAUUGUCUUGGUUUUGAGAUAUUUUAGAGGUCACACCUGGAAAUGCUUGUUUCUGUUGAUUUUUUACUUAUGUAACCAAUGUGAACUUUAUUUUCCUUGACAGAUAUAUGCAUUGAUGUCUUUCUUAUCCCUUGUUUUACCUGGGAGCUCAAUCUACUUUAAUUCCAUCAGGGAAGUGUAAGUAUUUCUUUCAUUUGUAUGAAGCUCCCACUGUACAUGUAAUUACUAAUAAUAUGUUCCUUCUCUGCCCUUGUUUCCCUUGUUUAAAUAAGAAUGUAAAACGGGGAGAAAAUAAGGUGAGGAGUAUUUCACCAUUUUGCCCUUAACGUCUGGCUAUGAGGGUGACCUCUUGUGGAGAGGGUUUUGUGAACCCAAGGGCAAAUUUCCCCCUCCCAUUUGCUACUUCUCUCUCUCUCUAACCUGUUUAUUACAAGCUGGGGCUUAAGUAUCUGUUUCUCUGAAUAAAUGUAGGCAAUUACAAGCUGUAUCUUUUAUCCUCAUGCUAUUGCUAUUUUCUUUCUGUUUCAGUUAUGAAGCGUGGGUCAUUUAUAAUUUUCUGUCGCUGUGCUUGGCAUGGGUUGGUGGCCCAGGAUCCGUUGUCCUAAGUUUAAGUGGUAGGAUUCUAAAGCCUUCGUGGGUUCUGAUGACAUGUUGCCUCCCUCCCAUACCUCUUGAUGGGUGAGUUCACAAUCUAUGCUAAAUUUGCCAAUAUCUGCAAGCCAGGCAUUUCUGGUGCAAGAAAAAUCACAGAAUUCUAUUAUUAUGUGGGAUUUUUUUUUUCCCUCUAGUUAAAAUAUCUGUGUACUAUUUUUAAAUGUUAGCAAUGCUCCUGGUCUUUCAUGUAUUACUUGUAAAUACCCUUGUUUUUAUUUACACAUAUAAAAUCAAAAUCUCUACAUAAUAGGCAGAGCACUGCAUAUCUAAGGAGAUCUGUGGAAAAUAUGGAGGUUUCUUAUAUAACAAUAUGUCAUAAUGUUGUAUUUAUGAGAGGAUUGUUUGAUGAACUCAUACACUUAAAACUGUUAAUGCAGGCGCUUUAUACGUAGGUGCAAGCAAGGCUGUUUGCAGUUUGUUAUACUGAAGCCCAUAUUAGUUGCCGUUACACUCAUACUUUAUGCAAAAGGGAAAUAUGCAGAUGGAAAUUUCAGUCCAAAUCAGUCGUACCUGUAUCUCACUAUUAUCUAUACAAUCUCAUACACGAUGGCUCUUUAUGCUUUGGCAUUGUUUUAUGUGGCUUGCAGAGAUCUGCUUCAGCCAUUCAAUCCAGUUCCAAAGUUUAUUAUAAUCAAAUCUGUUGUUUUCCUCACUUAUUGGCAGGUAAACAUGUCUCACUUUAUUAGUGGCAAAAUUUUUAAAGAUGCAAACUUUGUUUGGUGUCUUGUGUGUUAGCAAAUUGUACUUAGUUGUGGGAUCGCAUGCUUAUGCAUUAAGAGCAAAAGAUGUAGAAUGUGUUUUUUUCCUGUUGAUAGGGAGGCCCAUAUUGCAAACUUAUUCAGUACGUUUCUGACUCUUAUUGUCUACCUUUUAGGGUGUGUUGGUUUUCCUUGCUGCCAAAUCUGGAUUAAUAAAGAAUGCAGAGGAUGCUGCUCAAUAUCAAAAUUUCAUAAUAUGUGUUGAGAUGCUAAUUGCUGCUGUUGGUCAUCUAUAUGCAUUUCCCUACAAGGAGUAUGCUGGUGCAAAUAUUGGCGAGCCUCGAGGUCUGACUGGAAGCCUUGCACAUGCCUUAAAAUUGAAUGACUUUUACCAUGAUACAGUCCACCAGGUGAGCCUUUCAAAUUGUUAUUUCUGCCAUGGCCUAGCAUAGAUGGUUAUCUUUCUCUUUUAACUGGGCUCAACCUUUCUGAUGAGUAUAUAUAACUGCGCAGUUUGCCCCUACCUAUCAUGAUUAUGUACUCUACAACCAUAGUGAGGGUGAUGAGGGAAAGAGGAAGUAUCGGUCACGCACCUUUGUGCCGACUGGCCCAGAGAUGGAUGCUGUCAGAAGGAACAAGCACAUGUUUGGGAACAAGAUAGAUGACAUACAGCUUUCCAGUCUCUCAUCUUCUAGUUCAAGCACUCCCAAUAACUCUGGCCCAGUCCCUGAUUCUGCAAAUUCAGAUGCAAUGAAGUCUUCCCUGCUUGUUGAUACCUCAAAUGCUUCAUCAGUGCCAUAUGACAUGUCACUUAUUGACUUGGACUUGACCAGCUACCCCGCAAAGGUUCCUUCAGCAAAUGGAGGUGGUACUAGGUGACAAGAACAGACUGUGGUAGGCAGUUAUGAAGAAUGUUCAUACCAGGAAAGAAGUAUUAAAAGGGUUAUGGGGUUUCGGUGAAGCUUCAUUUGCUUAAUUGUGUGGUGAUAUUGGUGUUGGUAUACUCCAUCUACCUCUCUUCAGUUUGAUGCUCUGUCAUCACAAACAUCAGGCUUCCCACUGAAAUUGUUUUCAAUGGCUUGUUAGUUCAGUGUGCAUUGUAGAUACAGAAAAUCUAAUUGUCAUACUUGCUAGAUCACAAUAGGAAACAUGAAAUUGAUUUUGUUUUUUUUUUUCCCUCCUUUUUAGGUUGCCCAAUGAAGAGUUCUGUUGCUUAUUGGAUUUCAUAGACUUGAUAUCGAAAUUUUUUUUCUGAGUUGGGCCUUGGUACAUGGUUCGUCUUGUUGUUCCUUUUCUUUUUUCUUGCCAAACAAUCAAGGAGAUGAGAGAGCAGUUUUUACUGUAGUUACCAAUAAUGAUUUUACCAGUUGCAUGGCAGUGCAAUCAAAGAUGUUUUGAUGUACUUCUAUUAUGUGAUGCUGUAGGUUUGACUAUCAUUUGUUAUUGAAAUGAUUGAUUGAGGUUCUGAUUCUUAUAUUUGAUUAGGCAAGGAUGAUGCAGACUGACAGUGCUAAAAUGCUAGUCUGGCAACCAUGACUAUCAGGUUUUUCGUCACGAACGAAAGCGAUAGUCUUCUGGAUAUGAUUGACUAUUAAUUUUUGUGUUUGCUGAAUUAGCUUAGAAUUUUGUUUAGUUUGCUGAGGAGGAGCAGAAAUUUCUUAAAGAGCCUUGGACGCUAAGUCCUCCCAUGACUCUUGGUGCAUCUGGUUUGAAACUUGAGAUGUUGUCAUGAGCACGGGAGUUGAAAGAGCGACUAUAUAAAUUGCAUGACCUACUUAUAAUUCAUAAAUAGUAAACUUGUAAAGGUAGAACAUGCAAAAUGUAUGGGUUGGUUAAGACUUACAUGCAUUGAUCUCUUCUAUAAUUGGUAUUGACCAACUUUUUAUUAACUACUGGGGAGUUAAUCUAUUCUCUCUAUUUGGUGUUGACCUUUUAUAAUAAUCGUUGGACAAUUUUCUCAUCUCACGCAAGUCACCCAGCAGCCUUGGCUUAUCUGUCUUACUCUGUUGCUGCUUCUUCAAACAACUCAAACCUAGUUUUAUAAUGGCAUUUUUUAAAGUAUUGAAGUUAGAACUCAACUUAGUUGGGGAUUAAUGCUCAAAUUGCAUAAACUAGUCCUAUCAUCUACAUAAACACUCCUAAUGAAGUGAAACCUAGCUAUGUAGAAUCCACUUGUUAGGCUAUUAUAGGGUUGUUUUCCUAAAAAAUAUAUAUAAUUAAGUGUAAUCGGUUGUAUAUAAUAAUGUAUUUAUUUCUCUCAUAAUUGUGUGUAAUUACAACGUGAUGAGAAAGAUAAACACAAUGUUGUAUAGAACUAGUGAGAGAAGUCUUUUCUCAUAUACCGAGUGCUGAUUAGAAUAACCUGAAAAGAUGAUCAAGUUGGUAAAAACAAAAAAGUUGAAGGAUGAUGGCAUCAUAGCAUCAUAGAACCUAACCAUCCCAUUUCUCUCAUGCAAUAGCAAGAGUGAAGGAAAGAAAGAAAGUCCAAGAAGAAAAAGGGAAAGCCAAAACACAAAAGGCACGUGACCGUCCAUCUAAAAAGACCAUGAGCAUAUCCGACUAACCACGUGUUAAAGUAAAAAAAUUACUAUAUAGGAUUGGAGAGAGACAGAGAGAGGGAUGCUAAUUUAGAAGAGAAGAAAAAGCAAUGAGGCAGCAAGCAAGCCAAGCAGUCCUGGCUAGCCAGCUCCUGUGGCGGCCCACUGCUCGCUUGCCCAACUUAUGACUUAACCAACACAGGUUCGUAGAAUUUAUACACUUCCAGACUCUCAAACCAACCAUCCCUUUAUAUUUCUCUUUAAACACCCCACCCUCCUCUUCAACCUCCAUCUCAUAACUCCUCUCACACACCCAAAAGAAAAGACAACUAAGUCCUCUCUCUCUGUGUUUCUGUCUCUGUCUCUCUGUUUUCUCUGUUUCUCCCUCUGGCUAAGUUCUUCAAUGGCCGGCCUGUGGGGACAGAGCAUUCACCAUGUGGGCCCAAACCCAUCAAUCAGUAGAAGUAACUCAUUGAAUAGCAGCAGCAGCGGCAGUGGGUGCUAUUACAACAGCUACAUGGAGCUGAGCAGCAACAACUACACGAUGAUGGAGAAGAGGCAGCUUUUUCUUAGAAGCUAUCAGUUCAGCAGGAAGAAGAGCCUGACAGAGAGGAUCAAAGGGUCUUUUUGCAAAGCCAAGAAGGUCAUAUGGCUGAGGCUGCGUUCAGCUCGGAAGCUUAGGAAGUUGGUCUGCUUUAGACUCAGAUAUGGACUUGCCUACCGGAGAAGAAGACUCUGCCGUCUCCUGAACAAUUACCACCAUACCCGCAAAUGCAAUAACUCCUACUGUUUCUGGUAGAAGAAGUACUGGUACUCUUGUAAUUUCUUUUUUUUUUUCCUUUUUUUUCCUUUUUUUGGUUUUCUUUAUUUUAGAAGAAAAAAGUGCCAAAAUUUGGUGUUGUUCCCACGAGGUAACCAGUUAUAUACAUGAUGAUUUCCAUUCUAUUUAUUUGGUGAUGCUAGUUGUUAAUGUCAUGCUCUUUUUUAUUUCUAUUUUAAGGGUGGGGGUAGGAGGAAUUUAGAAAAAUGGUUAGUUUUUUUAGUAAUUUUGGGUAAUUUAUAUAUAAUUGGUGUGAGAAUCCCAAAAUAAUAAAAUCUUAGUUUAUGUAUGAUGAGAUUGAGAAUCUCAAAGUAGAAUGGAAUGGAUACCAUCUUCUAAGGGUUUGGUUUCUGGGUUACACAAAGUUUGAGGUCCAUUUUUGGCUUGGAAUAAGGCAGCUGUUGGCCUUAGCAAAGAGGCAAAUGGGAACAAAAAUUUGUGCAACUCAAUCAAGUUGAAAGUUUGAACUCUCAAGGGAGGGCAAAACCCAAAAAGGUCAAGCAGCAGCUCAAGGAUCCAAGUUUGAAUGAAAGAUGAAGCAAAAAAGUCAUUGUUGGGGAACUGUGACUUUUGCACCUUGCAUUGCAUGCUGCUCCUUAGACUGUUUAAAGUCCUGUUGAAAUUGAUCACAAAGGCAAUAGCUUUUACCCUUCAUAUUCUGUUUACACUUUGCCCCUUUGUCUUUUGCUUUUUUGGUGAAAACCCUUUUUUCCUAGUGAUCCACUGGUAUUGCCAUCUCCACUGUUGCUUGCUACACAUUCAGAUUAUUAGGGCAAAGUGAGGUUGAGGUUGAUUGGUAUUUCCGUCACUAAUUUUAUGCAGGAUAAAUUAACAAGAGCCAACCAGACUAUGUGACUCAGCUUUAAGUGUUCUAUAAGCUAGACUGCUUAUCUUAUUAAAUUCCAGCUCAUCUGAGUUAACCCUUUUUCUUAAUCAUGAUAUUCUUGACAAAAAAGUGUUCUACUGCCAAGAUUACGCAUAAAGAUCUAAUCUUUUUAGUACAUUUUUUAUUACUGGCAGAAGAAAGUGGCAUGGUUGAGCAUGCUCUGCACUUUAUAUAAAUAUAUUAUCACGGCAUGGCUUCAUUGCAAAUCAACGUCAGAUAUUGGUGGAAUAUAUGAAUUAAUAAAAUGAAUGGGCUAGAUUAAUCAAUAUUUUUCUACAUUCCGCAGCAGCAUGACAGAUGCAUAAAAGGGUUUUUUUCUACGAAGUGCUCAUCUUUCAUCUUUAUGGGUUGGCUGGGUUUGCAGAAUCUUUCAUUUCAGAUGCUGAUAAAGACAGAUCCCAUUAACAAGUUGAGUUAGGAUGCAAUUUUUAGGAGGGAUAUAAUUAUUUUUGAGAAAAGGAGAUAAAAAAAAUUAAUGGAAUUAAUACAACAUUGUUUUCAUGGACAAGACAACUCAUCAUCAAGAUGAAUGUGCUCAGUUGACAAUUCACUCAGUGGAAAAAAGAAAAAAACUUGCGUAAGAGGGCUACUUUAAUCUACUAAUCUAACUUAAUAUUUUUUUUAAUUAGUUAUUUAUAUAAUUGUCUAAGAAUUACGGAAAAAAGUUUAUCGCUUUCUUGUACGUGUUCGCUCAUCAUCAGGAAAAAUAGGGUUUCUUAGAACAUAUAGAACAUAUAUUAAUCUUUGGAGACGAAGUCAACCAGAUUUAUAAAGUGACUGCAUGGCAACGGUAACAUACUUGCUAAGCAAAAUGAGAUGUGGAAAGCUCUUUAUAUAUUCGUUUGACUCUAAAUAGAUCUGACAAGAAGGUUCUGCAGACUGCAACAGGAAGCUUAAUUAUCUAGCUGGAUAAUGUAGACAGAAGCAAAGUCAUAAUUUUUAAGAUGGCAUGAGCCAUGAUGAGGCACCUACAUUUCCUUCUUCCAGCAGUACUAAUAUUCCUCUAGUUAUGUUCCCAAUAUUAAUUCAUAGGGGAGGAUAUUUAACUUGUCAAUUAAUCUUGAGGGUAGAGACAGAUGUGUUUCCUUAAUCUCUGCAACAACAACAAAAAAAAAAAAUAUAUAUAUAUAUAUAUAUAUAAAAAUUAACAAUUGGGUUUUUCUGACUGAAAAUAUAUAUAUAUAUAUAUAAAUUAACAAUUGGGUUUGGCUCCAGAGUAUAUGCCAUAAGGUUGAAGAUUACAAUACGAGCUUAUUUAGCCUAUCAACAUAUAUCAACAAGCGCAUAAUUUAGUGAUAUUUUUCUUCUUAAUAUUAAAAGAGAUUCUAAGUCGAAUUCCCUUUUUCGUACAACCUUAAAGCUAAAACAUGAUAGAAAGCUUUCAAUUUUGGAUGAAGACAGUUUAGGUUUGGCAGUUGACGGCAUGAUAUGAGAGAGACCAGAAGUCAGUUAACAAUUGGUAUCAUGAGAGACACCAAGUGGCUAAUUGUUUGGUAUGCUAAACUUUACAGAACUAAUAGUUGAGAGGGAGGGUUUUUUUAUGCAUCCUGAUUAGACGGUGACACAUAACUCUUUUUUUUAUUUUAUUUAUAAAUUGUUUAGGACUUUUUUUUAUUGAGAAUAGCGUACUAAAUUCACACACACUACACAAAUACUAGACUUAAAUCCAGAAUCUUGUCUAAAAAAGUAAAAUAUUCUAAACCAUUAUACUAGUGGGUCCUUUGCGGUGAGACAAAACUUAAUACCUUUCCAUUAGUGCUCUAUUUCUAGGCCUUCUUUUGGACUAUAUUUUGAAAAUUUCAGAUAAUUUAGUUCUUGGGCUUCUUCCCUUCAAUUAGGUCAACUACUGUGGCCUUUCAAAUUUGAUCCCACAGAACUGAUGAAGGCCCAACCAAUAUGGUGCAGCUUUUCUUAGUCAGACCAAAAUAGGGUGCACAAAAAACCAACAUGACACCUUAAUUAAACAAUUGCCAAUGCCCAACCACUAUUUUCUUCAAUGAAGGACAAAUUAGACCAACAGAUCAUAAUCUUGACUUGAUUAUGGACUCAUUAGUAUCAGAUUAAUAAAGAAUCAAGUAAAUCAUCUUUUGGCUAAAGAUCACAACUGCAAACUUCACUUUCUUUAGCAAAUGAUUGGCUCUGAUUUUCAACCCUAACAUGGACAUCAAUCAUUGCACAUGCCUGUAAUAUUCCUCUAAUCAUAUAACAAUUCCUCCAUCUCAUUUUAAUAAACUCAAGAGAGCAAGAGAGCAGCUUACAAUCACAGAGGUGGUUAUGUAUGUGGUGGUAGCCAUGUGUUAAAAAGCAGAUAUACAAGGCAUUAUAUCAAUGUAUCUAUCUCUCUUUCUCAGUGCAGAGUAUAUUGGGCUAAAAUAUGAAGGCAGCCAUGUGUCAUAGGGAAUCUUAAAGUUACAAUGUAAGUAAUAUCAGUCUCUUUCUGUUACUAUUAGGUGUUUGAAUGAACAUUAAAACCAGAAUCUUCAUACAUUGCCCUCCAUUUAGCCCCCACUAGUUCUUCCCCUUUAUAUAUUUGUAACACACAGCAAUACCAAAAGUCCUACAAUCUCACCUCCUUUCUGCUUCUCCUAUCUUCUUGGUCCUCAGUGCAGCAGAUGGGUUUCCAGGACAUUGUUGGGGGAAGGUUGGGAUGUCAAUAUGAGAAGCUAACCAAAAGGAAUGAAAAGGUGGGAAGGCCUGGAAGGCAUUGGGUGAAGAAAAUGAAUGGAAGACUGAAGGGUCUGCGGUUAUCGCGCUCCCGGAAGCUUACUUUGAAGAUUUUUUCUGCAGUUGUAUGGCAUAGCAGGUUUGCAAGGAUAUGCAGUGACAUUGUGAACAGAAUGAAAGCUGAUGGAGCAUAUCCCAGUAUUAUCUUCUCUACUCAAUGGGGGCUUCCAGUUCUGUCUCAUUCAUCUGUCAGGGGCUGCAGCAUCAAAUGCAGUCCCAAUAUUGUACCACCAAUUAGGAACUGUAUCAAAUAGCAUGAUACUUUGAUUGUUAUUGUACAUUUCUCUGUCUCAAAUCAUAUAAUUGCUUUUCUUAUUUGCUUUCACUCAGAACUAGUUUUUAUGGUCCAAUUAAGUAGACAGAAUUUACAGUUCAUGAAGCAAAUGGAGUAUAUUGAAUAGUUGUCCUACAAAUGACUCCAUUAGAUUCUCAUAAUUUAUCCAUUCACCAUUUUAAUAUAAGGGAAACAGAUAUGGAGGAAUUUUUAUAUACUUAGUGGACUAGACAUGGUAAUUCUAAUUGAUCAAUUACUGUGAAGGAAUUAGUUAAGAUUUGCUACAGCUGAGAUUAUUAUUUUCCGGCAUAGAGAAUCCAAGAAGAUAAUUCAUACGGCCGACCAUAAGGUUGGGGUAAAGGCAAGGACGAUGAUGAUGAUAAUGAUAUUCAAGCCAACACAUAUUUGCAUAAGAAUUACACAAUUUUUAAAAAAAAAUAGAAAGAAAAAAGAAAGGUGCCAAUAUGACAAUUAAAUGUAAAGGCAAGGUGGCAUUUGAUUAUGACAGGAACAGACUAUACACAAUGUUAAAGAAGUUGAACACAGGCAAGGCAACCAAUUGGCCGGGCCCCUUAUGUGAUCCCUUCCUUGUAGUUAUUACAAGCAAACGUUUAGGUGGUUUUCCUGAUGGAGAUAGCCUAAUGCACAACAAAAUCAGCAUUUCCCUACCAAAGCUACCUUUUAGAUGCAAAGCCAGUCAUGAAUAGCAAAUAAGAGUCUUUGAGGCUGAAGUUUGGCAUGAGAAAGUGCCUUCUAAUGUCCUUUGAUCCCAUCUUCUGUCCCUUCUUUGCCAAGCGCCAUAGUCUUGGUGGCGGUGUAAGGCUUUCCUCACAUGUCUCUGGCUCCUCCUUGAUAGUUGCUAGCUUACUCUUGAGUAUUUCCUCUAUGUCUUUCCAGGAGUCAGUCCGGAAAUUCUUUCUGCUCAUGCAAGGCACCACCCGCCACAUUUUUCGGUAUGCCCUCCUCAUCUGCUUUCAAGUCGAGUUCUUCUCGGACAAACUAGGUCUUUAGCAGAAAGUGGUCAUGAUCACACUAGUAAUGCUCUUCUCCUUGCCUAUAUAUAUAUAUAUAUAUAUAAAGAGAGAGAGAGAGAGAGAGAGAGAGAGAGAGAGAGAGAAGAGGAAAGGUUGAGGAAAGUGGGUUAGGGUUGUAUUAGUUGGCUAGAAAAUGGAAAGAGGAGGGACCAAAAGCCACAACCUUUGCUCCUUUACAGCGAUGGUUCAACCAUAAUGAUCAGCUUUUGUUCGUUAACCUUUAUAAAACCAACCAAACCUUUAUUCUAUUGAAUACAUCAUGAAAUCCGUUUUCUAGUUUUGAAGUUGUAUGCAUAUCUUGAACAAGGAAAGACAUGUCUGCUACAAAUUUCAUGGAUGACACUCUGUUCCUGGAAAGCUAAUGCCUUAUGUCUACAAAAGUCAUCUGCAGAAUUAUGAAACUGAAACACAAAGAACCAGAUGUGACCCCUUGGAAAUAAUAGUGAUAAAGACUUGAGGAAAGCAAAUCAUGGUGGUAGGGAACACAUUGGUGAUCAGCAAGUUCAAAACCAUAUCAUUUGAUUCCAUUCCAAAUUGUUUAUUAGAAGAGAUUUCAGAAACCACACAAAAAAUUUAUGCCAAUCUUCCAGCCUGAUAAUACAUCAUGUUAUUGAGGACAUACAAAAUCAAAGCACUGAUUUAAUUUGUCCAACUGUCAUACCUUACCAAACCUUUACUUUAUACCAGAAAAUCUUGCAAUUUACUUACAUGUGCCAAACUCGUCAUUAUUUCUGUUCUUCUUGCUUCUUUUUGAAGUGAACUACUUUGCUAACAUGUGAAUGCUAAAAUAUGAAAACUAUGAGAGAAUAUUUGUUUGUGGGAAUUUUCUGUGUAUUCUUCUCCUUGUAGGAGGUCAUAUUUAUAAUACAACGAAACCUAAAUAGGCAAGUAAAUAAUAAAUUCCUAAAUCUAUUUGCAGUAGGAAAUCAGAAAUUAAAGUAAAUCAAUUACAAUUAUAAUAGGAAUUCUUGGUGUGUAAGGAAAGUAAGUCAAUAUCCACAAGUCACGCCAACACUCCCCCUCAGUUGGUGCAUAGAUGUCGCCAAUGCCCAACUGAUCUAGUGAAUUGUGGAAUGCUUUACUGGAAAUCGCCUUUGUCAAAAUAUCCGCCAAUUGAUCCUCGGAUUUCACAAAAUGCGCAAUCUGGUCCAUAUGUCGGGGUCGUUAGUCGAGAAGUCAUAAUCUGUGCAGCGGAAGAUGCAUAGGAUACAGUUGAGUAGGAAUUGGGAUCGGAAUAUAAGCCUGAGUCGAGGCCGGAGUCAGAGUUGAAAUCGGGAUCAGGGUCUGAAUCAGAGCCAAAUUCGAGGUUGGGGUCAUCAUCGGAGUGGGGGUCGGGGUCGUCUACGGAGUCGGGGUCGGGGUCGGGGUCGUCUUCGGAGUCGGGGUCGGGGUCGGGGUCGUCUUCGGAGUCGGGGUCGGGGUCGUCGUCGUCAUAGUCGGGGUCGGGGUCUGGGUGGUCGUCAUCAUAGUCGGGGUCGGGGUCGGGGUCGUCAAAAGAGGAUCCUGAUUCUGGAUCGGGUUCGGGGUCAAAGUCUGCAUCUGUAGGAGCGGAGCCAUCUGGGCAUUCAACUCAACGAUGGUUGGUGGAGAAUGAGAGAAUGAGUCGAUGGUGCUACCUCCAUGAGGGUUGAAAAAAUCAUCAACCCCCAUAACACUAAAUAAAAUAAUCUCUAUUACAAUAGGACAAAAUAUAAUUGGUAAGUAACCAAAAUUCUAAUGAAAUAAGGAACCAAAAUUCUAACUAAAUAAGGACUCGCCAACACUUCCCCUCAAGUUGGGCAAAGAUAUUUCGCACGCUCAACUUGACAAGCGAGUCACAGAACACCAUACUUGAGAAGUAACAAUUGUAGAGAAGAUCUUUUAGUCAACCACGAGUGAAACAAGUGACAAACUAAAACAAAGUUCACAGCGGAAACACAAGAGCAAACCCUAAAAAAUAGGGCACAUAGCAAAACACAGAAAUCCUGUGAGCACGGCUGUAGAUAAGGCAGAACACAGAAACCCUGUGAGCACGGCAGUAGGUAAGGCAGAACACAGAAACUGUGUGAGCACAGCAAUUGGUAAGGCAGAACACAAAAAUCCUGUGAGCACGGCAAUAGGUAAGGCAGAACACCGAAACCCCAUGAGCACGGCAGUAGAGACAAUGGCAACAAUAAAUUCUUCCAUAUAAACUUUAGCUAAUUCACUCAUACACAACUUCUCUUCAAUCCUCCUCUCCCUUUGAAGAGAAGGGGUCGUCGGAGUAAAGAAAUAAGCAACAUCUUCAUGGAAAUAUGUCAAGGUAAUUGGGAUAGGUCAAUAAACAUAUCCCUUUCACUCCCCCUCCCCCCUCUCAAGGGGGGAGAAGAACACUUAAAUUUCAAGAAGAACACAAGCACAGGUCCCUAGAUCGAACCUGGCUCUGAUACCAUGCUAAAAUAUGAAAACUAUGAGAGAAUAUUUGUUUGUGGGAAUUUUCUGUGUAUUCUUCUCCUUGUAGGAGGUCAUAUUUAUAAUACAACGAAACCUAAAUAGGCAAGUAAAUAAUAAAUUCCUAAAUCUAUUUGCAGUAGGAAAUCAGAAAUUAAAGUAAAUCAAUUACAAUUAUAAUAGGAAUUCUUGGUGUGUAAGGAAAGUAAGUCAAUAUCCACAAGUCACGCCAACAGUGAAUCUACUAGACCACCACUGCAUA